GAAGGCAAAGCCUUAUGCUUAAUGGAUUAUUUAGCUAAAUAUACUAUCUAUGAGAUAUAGGAGUGAAACAAACAAUCCAGAAGCUUUCCUAUACCGGCACGUCCCGACAGUAUGUUCAUCAACUUCUCCAACUCUCCCGUGUCUAGCCUCACCGUCAGCGAACCUCACCGUUGCCCCGAGCAAACAAACAGCAGCAAUAUUUCUCCUUGGAAACCGGUCUUGCUACUGUGAAAUUCAUUUUGGAGGUGAUGUGAUCUGAUAGCGCAAUAAGAACAAUUCACAAGAGUAACUGUAUCACAUAGUCAUAGAUCCAAUCACUAUUUAUUUUGGAGGUGUCAAUGCAAGUUAGUCCUAAAACUAUAUAUAAGUUAUUCACCGAGAGCCCUAACUUGCCCAUAGACCAGUGUUCACCUGCUUAUGUGGCGCUUAACUGUUGCCAUGUAGACAUACUCUAUGCAAAAUGGCCCUUCCAAAUACACAAUGGAAAAUUCACUCUCAAAAAUGUCGUACAACCACAUUGAAGAGGUGGGAUGUUUUUAUUUCUUAAGAAAAAAAGACAAAUCAUCACAAUACACACAACCAUUCGUAGCGAGAUACUUGUCACUGGUGCACUUGGGCACCACUUCAUCCAGCACGGUUGUGGCGGCACCCCCCCCCCCCCUUAACCGAAGAGCUUCCUUGGCCACCUUCUGUAGCGCCGCCACCUUAGCUCUUACCUCCGCACAUUUUCCAUGGCCAACCAUCACUUCCCUCACUGUCGCGGCGACCUCCUCCUUUGCCAUGGCCAAACAUCACUUCCCUCACUACCGAGGGCUCUCAUAUGGCUACCACAACUCCUUCUGUCAGCAUCACGGUGUUCUGUCGUUGCUCGGCGUAGAGCGGCCACGGCACCAUGGGCACGCCAUGCACCAGGCUCUCUAAGACGGAAUUCCACCGGGAGUGCAGCAAUAAGCCUCCCGUGGCUUCAUGAGCCAACACCUUCGUCUCCGUCGGCCACGAUGGUCCGAGGAGGCCGACGUCCUAGCUUGGUCCUCUCGACGAACCCCUUUGGCACGCUCGGCAACCUCUCGAUGUCCUUGGCCAGGCGCUUGGCAAGCUCGGCGAGCGGGAUCAGGUGUCCUAAAUCGGGCGUCACCAGCAUCGGCACGUGCGGUGGCCGACGAGCCUCAGUCGUGCCGUCGCCUCCAUGGUUCCGUCGUUCGCCCCUCCGUUUCACCAUGGGAUUAUAUACGGUGGUUUUGGUUAGACUCGUGUCUGUGUGUGUUGUUUUGGGGGUUUAUAAGUAAGCAAAAGGAAGAUGAAAUUAAUUUAUCCAACAGCAUGCAUGCAGAUUCAUACCGACAUGACUUCAUGCUUUGCCUUGACAGUACAAAUGGAUAGAUCUAACGUACUACUCCUUCCGUCUUAAAAAUAAGUGUCUCAAACAUAGUAUAACUUUGUACUAAAGCUAAUUUUAUACUAGAGCUAGUACAAAGUUAAGAUAUUUAUUUUAGGACGGAUGAAGUAAAAAAAUAAGGCUGGAUAAUGGAGACCUCAUAUAUGCUUCUGCCUACCUCAGACGGACCUCAUAUAAUGCAAAAAUAUAAAAAAAAAAAUGAGAAAAUGAAAUGGAGAUGCGGGGGAUCGAACCCCGUGCCUCCCGCAUGCAAAGCGGGCGCUCUACCAUUUGAGCUACAUCCCCAUCGUUGAACCGAUUCCCUUAAUUGUUUUAAUUAUCAUCAAUUGCUUGCUUAAUCACAAUGACAUGGUAGUCGGAGGAACAGACAGCAGGGUAGUACUGGCAUAGGAAUACACGCUCCCAAAUGAGUGUUGUGUGUGUGUGUGUUAUCUAGUAAAUUUUGUUCUGUCAAUUAUUACUACCAACAAUUGCCAGAAAAACACACACACACAAAAAAACAUGUGCAGUAUGAUGAUGCAUACUUGUUCAGAACAAGCAAACCAAGUAGAGUGUUUUGUACUAAAAAUUAUUCGCUUGUGUAUUCUUGUGGUAUGGUAGUCCAUGCUGUCAAAACAAGCAAAACAAAACCUGCUUCUGUCAGUUCUAUCUUAUUCACAGGGAAGAGAUGAUGGAUUCAUUUGGAACCAUGUUUUCCAAAUGUCCACACAGAAACAACAAAUGUUCAAUGUAAAUUUAUACGAAAGCAAAGGGGAUGGAAGUUUAUCAUGUUUUCUGAAGCAAAAGCUCACUGUGAACCUUCUUGAGCAGUUUCUGUUUUGCCAAGGUGUUCGUACUGACUGCAGUCAGCUCUUAUCUCCUUGAAGGUUGUUAUCAACGGUAACAAAAAAAUUCUUAAUCGUUGAAUCAGCCUAUUAAGGAAAUCAGUAACUCGUAGCUGCUCGCUUGACUAGGGAGUAGCGAUUAAUCGUUGAAUCAGCCUAUUAACUAGACUAAUUGGUCGACCAUUAAUCGGUGGAAUUAUAAACUCAAUAGAAGCAAACUGUGUAUGGAGAAAAAAAUCUACAUUGCAAAUAUGAAGCAAAUGGUACCAUUUUCUUUUCUCAAUAGAUGACAAACAUGUAUGCAAUAACAAUCAUCCAUGUGGGUGUCAAAAUCAUCAACAAACAUGUAUACACCAACAUUUUUUGGCUGAUUUCCGCCUAGAAUGCAACUCCGAGUGAUGGCGUCCAUGUGACGGCGAUAGACAAAGGAAAGGUGACGGUGGCUGCGCAGGGCAUCUGAACUGGUCAGUUGAUGGAGGUGGCGGGUCACAGAGGAGGAGGGGAAGUAUCAACACACCGAGGAAGAAGAGAAAGCGGCAGCACACAAAGGAGAAGGGGAAGCGGCGGCGCGCCGAUGAGGACCUGGCCAGCCACCAUCUAUUCGAGAGGGGAUGAGAGGAGUGGGAGGGCGGAAGAAGGGCUAAACCCUAGGUAUUUAUGAAUGGGAGGGGCUCGGCAGGGCUAUGGGCCAAAUAAUUGGGCUUUGUUUGCCCACGAGUGAGGAGGCCAACAUCGAUUAAUCGGCCUGACGACUGAUUAAUCGGUCUAAUAGACCAUUUAAUCGUCCUCGCAAGUUAACAUGAUGAAUAGGUGUUAUUCGAUUCGGUCAUGCGGUGAGUAGCGUUUAACUCGCCAAUUAACUCAUUAAUCGGAUGAAUUCUUGAACAGUGGGCCCCACAAACUUUGAGGAUGUAGUGCAUCAAUUAGAAAAUCUUUCGUUGCUUUAUUUUCUGGGGAAAGUGGUUAUUGCUUCAAAAGGUUGAACUCUUUAAUAAUUUUGAAACAUAGCUUCCGGAAAGAAGUAUUUUCCGCAUUUUAAAAAAGAAAGUAUUUUCAUGUGGAGUUGCAAUCCAUGGCGUCUUUAUGAAAUACAACAAAUCUAAGCAGGUCAAUUAUUGGCUAUUGGAGGGGUGCAUAACACGAGGCCCAAAUGCAGCAGCAACCCAUUAAAUUUCUAGCAAGGCAUACAUGUUGUGCAUGCAUUCUUCAUGUAAAGAGUAAGAGAAACAACGCAUCGCUCGCACGAACCAAUUGCAUGUAUGGUGCAGGAACAUAAUCAUGACUAGGUACAUGGCCAUUUAUUAUCUAGGCAUAUGGCUCGUAUAUAUAUGUAGUCCAUCAUAAAGUGUAUUCCUUCAUGAAGUAACAAAUUAUAGCAAGUCAGCAUGCUAUAGCAAACGGAAGCAUGUAGUCAUGGCCUUAGUGGUUGACUAUGAGAUGUUCGAGUGAAACAAACAAGACAUAUGUUUUCCUAUAUGAGUAGUGCGAAAGAGGCGAUGCAUCUCCAGCCGUGCUUCACCUCGCCCAUGCAGUAACCGAGCACCAUAGCUACCAUAGUCACCACAAACAUUAAGCAUGGGACAGGUGAAUUUUCUAUGUAGAAUUGGUACCACUUACCUUGGCUUAAUGAAGUAGCCUUCUUUUCUCUCUUGUAAAAAGAACUGAAUUUUCCUUGCUUGUCUCGAAGCAUGGAAAAAAUUUAUAAUUCUAAUCUCGUCCAUUUGUGUUUGCUCAAACUAAAUGGAGCCUGAAAUCUUUUCAUCUUAUUCCUAAAAAACUAUCCUUUCAUCUUCCUUUUGUUUUGCUUGCUCAUUAUUUUUGCGUCCUUUAAAACAUGGAAUGGAAAUAAAUCUUCAUAAACAUGGCAAGCACCAACCUUUUGAUUUAUUUUUUGAAUAAAAAGACCAAGAAUUAACAAGACACAACCUCAAGGAAAAAAGAACUAAUGAGACGUAGAAUGAAAGGUAUUCCAUGAAUUGUGGCAAAAAUAGAUUCAUCGAAUAUAUUUAAUUUUACAUCGAAAUAGUUAGCUAGUGAUCAUUGGUACAAGUGCUACUUAUCCAUCGUGUGAACUUUGAAGUGCUAUCCAUGUGCUAUGUACGUUCAUAUUGAUGUGUAUAUACUAUGUGCAAUGGGUAACUUUCCACUAGCCACCUGUGUGUGCCAUAUAUGUUAAUAUUGCAAACAUGUUGACACUAUUCAAUAAGGCUCCAUGCCCCACUUUGUAGAUAAAGCAAAUACCACAAUAUGUCGGCACUAGCCAACACAAUAUGGGCGUUGGAUAGAAUAAAAAUGCACUAACUAAGAUAAUAUUGCUCAACAAAGAGGAGAACAUAUUGAAGCUAAGGGGGUGUGGUUAGGCAAAAGAUGAUGUGCAGUGCCUCCCGAUCGGAGUCCAAUUAUGGAAAAAGCUUAGUUCCAUUACAUAAAAAUAGGAUGCACCAACAAUUUGAACCAGUUACCCAUUACUGGACAAUAUAAUGUUUUCAAUGCCAAAAGAAAUAUUUCAAAAAUUUUGACAUGAGCACCUUGAAAUAAAACUCUGAUAGGCACUAAAAACGCCAUAGACAACAUAUCUGUAUUUUGUAGGUACAGCUGGCCAGGCAUAUCUUUGGAGAUACCGACUGGUGAAGGCUAAUGCCAUCACCCAUUUAACUAGUCAACAUCUCUGCACUUCACAAUUUCUAGGCUUAAUCUUGCAAUGUUGUCUUGGCUCUUAAAACAAGGGUACCUUAAAAACAAACCAACAAAGGUUAACAAAAAUAUAAACUUUCUAGGGCACACCUCAAUUCCCAAUUUGGAAGAGAUGAUGGUUUCAUCGGGAACCACUUUUUCCAAAUGUUCAGAUAGUAAAACAACAAAUGUUGAAUGUACAUUUGUACCGAAACACUGUUGGGUGGGAGAGGGGGUGAAGUUUCAUCAUGGAUUCUGAAGCCAAGAAAAGAUGAAUACAACCCUUGGCUCGGUGUUUUGCUUUCUUGAGCGUUUCGGUGUUCCCUACGUGUUCGUACUGGCUGCAUCGUGCCCUUACAAUUCCAAAGUGAAUUAGACUGCCUACUAUUUUCGUGAUGUGAAAUAACUCCACCUUAAUUUCCACAUUGACUUAAUGGGCAAUGGAAACACAUCCAACUGGUCCUUCAGGCUAGACAGCAAUGCCAUGGCAUCCAUCCAAACUACACCAUACCGUAAAAGCUUAUCUCUACUAAGUGAGAACAAAAACGGUUUCCUUGUUCAACACCUUCAUUCAACAUAAAGUUUUCGGGGUGGAAGCAAUUCUGUUUGUGGUUACAGAUUUCUCUCCUUUCUGACAAGCAGAUGUGGGCCUCAUAUGUUCAGAGGGGAAGCAUGUGGAUGUGGAGAGGUUGUAGCAACUCCUCCUAAGAGCUCAGAUGGUUGUUGAGGAAGCAUAUGGGCGGUACAUCACCAACUCUGGUAUGCUUCUACAACUAAAGAUGCUAGCUAGGGCUAUGUACCAUGGUUAUCAUGCGGUAGACACUUUCAAGUGCAACGAAUUAAUAAACAAAGAGGGCUCUACAUAAGUGCUGAGCACUGGCAAUUUUUUGUAAUAUCUUGGCACUCCCCUCAAGUGCUGCCAUACAAACAAACUCGCGUAUAUCAGAUCACAAAGUUUGUAACAACCAGGACCUACAGGGUGCCUUACUAAAUUUAGAGACGGUCAUCUCUAAUAUUACAGAGUUUGUUAUACAUUUGGGUCGGUGCAAACCGAUGUUUCGCAGACCCUAUGACACAUACCUUUACGUCAACAACUUCAUGUUCGGUCGUUUGACCGAGAAGCAACACGUUAUCAACUUCUUGUUACAACGGAAUCAUCUUGGUUCUCCAUCUGUGGUUCCCAUCAUUGGUGGCUAUCAAGUCCGUGGUCACUUAUCUUCAAUUUUGCACUUUAAUGGACACAACUUUUGUAGGAUAGACAAUGAAAGGUGCACAUCAGGGAGAACAUUGGUUAUUCUUGAAUUCCUUUCAGAUGUUGAUGAUGAGAAGUGGAAACCUUUUUACUGGGAGUGACAUCCAUAAGCACAGAAAGUAAGGUUAUAAUCAUAAGUAAGAUGGAAAUCUUGAUGAGAUAUGGUACUGUGAAGCCAAUAUCCACCAUUCCACCUAAGUGAAUUACCAGAAGAGGAGUACAAGCCACUAGCAUUUGGAAGUGCAAACGGUGAGGACUACCCGAACCCACGGGCGGAGACAGGGGAGGACUAUCCGAAGCCAGGGGCGGAGACAGGGGAGCAUGGGCCUACCCCGCCCCAAAGAUCGACAGAACCUGAAGUAUUUAGUGUACAUUUGACUGAUAUGAACAAGCUAGCAUUGUUGGUAGGAGAAUUCAUCCAAUUGUUGGAUUGGUCAUUUGUGGCCGCAUAUUUCAUUACCAAUGCAUUGAGGAUUAAUCUAACCCUUCGAUACUGGCUUUCCAUUUUUAAGAGAUACAAGAAUGUGACAAAGAACAACUUGCCCACAUUUGGUCAGCAUAUGUCACACCGCUUCAAAAAUCAUUGUCCAGUCGACUUCACCAACUUUCUUCCUUAUCCCGCUGCGCCAUUAUACCUUAUGCCUCCUCAGGGGGUGUUUGUUUCAGCUUUUGGUGGCUUUCCACGAAAAAAAGCCAACAAAGCUCACCAAACAGCCUAGCUUAGCUAUUGGCUUUGACAAAGCCGACCUCUCCAUUGCACGUAGGAGAGAAAGCACCCCGAGACGUGCUUUCCGUGGCUUUCCUUCGCUUCCCGCAAAGUGAUCCGAACCGUUUUGUAUAAGGGACAUUUCGUUCUAAGGAAAUUACAACCGAAUGCCACUCGAAUUUUUCCCACAGCCCCACCGCUCCCUGCCUCCACCCCACCAGUCCCUUCCACGAACACCACGCGCCCGACGCAUCCUCCUAGGGUUCCUCCUCCCGCCGCCGCCGCCUCGUCUACUCCUCCCGCCGGCGAGCGGUGCACCUCCUGGCGGCGAAGACCUUCUCCCUCCGUCGCCAUCCUCCCGUCCCCGCCGUCCUCGAAGUGGCACGCAGUCCUCCCGUCGCCGACAGCACGAACUCCGCCGCCGGCCUCCCGUCCCCUCCUCUCUGCUUCUCCCGGCCUCGUCGUCCGCCGCGGAGGGAUCCCCGCCGUGCUAGCUCGCCGCUGCUGCCUCCUCCCUGCCGGAUUCGUCCACCUCCCUGCCGGAUUCGUCCACAGCCCUGCCGGAUUCGUCCACCUCCCUGCCGGAUUCGUCGUCGGCCUCAGGUAUAGCUCCCGUCCCCUCCUCUCUGCUUGUACUGCUUGGGCUCCCAUAGAUGCUAGGACUUGCUUGGCCUCCAUAGAUGGGAUAGGAACAGCAAGUACUUGCCGCCUCCAUUUGUUUGUAGCUAGUUUAUUUGUUUGUAACAGCAAGUACUGGGAUAGGAACAGCAAGUACUGGCCUCCAUCUGAUGUUUAUUUGUUUGCUGUAAUUUUGAUAGAAACUAGUGAAGAAACAAUGGUUGCCACUUGGGAUGCAUACCGUAUUAGAGUGUUUUGCGACAUUUGUAUGGAAGAAGUGAACAACAACAAUAGGGAUGGGGGCUGCUUGAGUAAAAAAGGCUAUGAAAAUCUGGAGAGAAAAUUUUAUGAGAAAGUAGGAGAGAAGCUAGUGAGGAAAAUGGGAUCAGUUGAAAAAGGAGUACACGUGGUGGAUGGAAUUGCUAAAUGCAACCAGACUAGGCUGGGAUCCCCAAACAAAAACCAUGGAUGCAGAUGAUGAUUGGUGGAAAAUUCACCUAGAGGUAAUUUAUCAUGUUUUGAACUAUCUUUCUUCCUGUCUAGUUUUUGCUCGAAUAAUUGGACUCAUGUAUCUAUUCUGUUAUUAUUUUCAGAUGCGCCCCGAUCAUGCAAAAUUUAGGAACGGGCCACCUCCCAAUUUGGAGCAGCAAGAUGUUGUGUUUAGGAAGGCACAUGUCACCGGAGAAUCAGCGGCCAUUGCUGGACAGGAAACAGGAGGGGGCAAGGAAGCUCCAAUAUUGCUUGAGGAUGAUCGUGGUACCUCCUCCAAAAUAACAGGAAAGCGCAAGUUUGGUGCUGGAGAAGGCAACGAAAAAGAGAGCCCAUUUUUCACGGUUUACAACAAUGCUUUCAACACACUUGUUUCAAGGAAUGAAGGUAGUUCUUCCACCAAGGCUGACAAGGUACGAUAUGUAUUUUGGACAAAUCUAUAUCCUACUAAUAUUUUUUUUAAUGUUAUGUAUUACUCGGAACUCUAAGGGUACGAUAUUCUAUUUGUGUAAUGGUACUCGGAACUCUAAGGGUAUUUUAGACAUAUCCUCGAUCCACAGCUAGACAGCCAGUCAAGUCGCCAAACAGUGACAUUCAGAUAAGCAGCUUUCCCUGCACAACAGCUUUCCCUUCACAGCCACCGCCACAGCCACAGCCAGCCAGCCACAGCCCAAACAAACAGGCCCUCAGACUAAAGGUGAGGUUUCCGAAAGGAGACUGCCCAAGAUUACAAUUUAGAGACAGAUACUUGGUCCUUUUUUGGUCCGAGCAGCAUUUGUAGCCUCCACAAUCUUCUCCCAAAUGUCUGUCGUCGUGCUAGUAACCAAAGGCUAGGAUGCAGGAUUUACAAACUGAUAGCCCUGCCAACGCGAGGCCUGGAUCCAUAUGUGGUUGGCCAUGUGACAUGACCAGAGUAGGUGAGUAGAGGACUCGAGCUCCCGCAUACUCCACAUAGUUGGCAAAAAUAUUCAUUGGGACAACAUCUUCUCCACAGACGAUCGGCACACCAGACGUGGUUCAUUCGGAGGAGUCAAACGAAGAACUUGAACCUUGUCGCGCCCAAGCGGUCCAGAAGGAGGACCUGAGCUUGUGGAAUAGAAUCAUGCCUUGGAAUUGUGCAAAAAAAAAAACAAAAAAAUGAAUUGUGCAAUGUUUGAUUGGACUUUAUAGAAUAAAUUCCAGCUUGUGAAAUUCCAAGUGAUGGAAUCGUCCACGUCCACACUUGGCUGACUGUUUCUCUCCCGAAGUACUCUCUUCUUCCUAAAAUAAAUGACUCAGCUUUGUACUCACUCCAUCUUAGUUUAUAAGUCCGACACGUGUAUUUAGGUCAUUAAUCUGACCAACUUAAUGAUAAACAUAUAUUAUAAAAAAAUAUAUCAUUAAAAACUUUAGAUGUUUUAUUUUCUAAUGAUAUAAUUUUUAUAUUAAAUAAUAGAUUUUAUAUAAGUCAAAUUAACAACCUAGGGACACGUACGUGUAUUCUAAAUUGUGACGGAGGUAGUACUAACUUUAAUACUACAAAGUUAGUGCAAAUCACUUAUUUUGGAACAGAUGGGGUAGCUUACAAACCGAGAGUAAAUUUACCACCACAAGACUCAGACGUGCAGAAUCAUAGAAGAAUAACUAGUCGUGCAUGCAUUCUUCAUAUGAAGAGAGAGAAACAAUGUGUAGCAGAAAGAACUGCAUGGGUGGAGCACUAUACGCAUGACUGCAUACAUGACCAUCUCAUGAUCUAGGCAUGUGGCUCGUAUAUAUAUAGUCCAUCAAAAAGUUUCUUUCUUCCACAAUUUCUUAGCUGGAACCUAUAGAUGGAAGCAUAAGUAAUGCUGCACUAGGUGGAUAUACUUAGCUUAGCUACCUGCAAUUUCUAUAAGAUGUUGGAGUGAAACAAAAAGGCCAUGUGUGUUCCCAUAAGAGCAGUGCGAUCGAGUACUGUGUACCUGGGAAUUAGUCAGGAAAAUGAUGAAGUGUAAUUCAUAUUGGACAAGGUAACGGGGAGCUCUCUGGAUUGAAAUCCUAGCGCACACGGUGCUAGGAUCACAAAAUCUUUUGUAGGACUUCAAACAACACCCACAUAGUGUCAUACAUGCAGGCAACGAAUGUUCGUCCCUCUAGCGUGGUAUAUCAAUCUGGCAGCUCUUUUGACGAGCUUAUCCUAGUUCCCCGUGUCUAGCUACACCUGGGUGCAGCACAAGUUGUAUUGGAAGAAAAAUUGAUUUUUGGUUUUGAAGCACAGAGAAAGCAGUAACUCAUAUUCAGUGGGGCAUAAUGGACGCAUAUGGGUGAGACGCGGUAUGGAUUAGCUAACAGUAAAGAAAUAUACUGAUCUAGAAUACAUUUUUUUCAAACACGCAUUAUAGAAGAUAUAUACGCUUCCAUUGUUGAGUAAAUGGGCAAUUUUUUGAAUAGAUUAAUCCAUGAAAUAAUCACUAACAUGGCAUUGACUAGAUUCAUGACAUACUGAUUAUGGAGAAGACUAGCAAGUACUACGCAUAUAGUAGAAACAUCUACGCAUGUGACUAGUACUUCUAGGAACAAAAUAAACAGGAGUGGGAUAAACGAGUUAUACCCUCCGAUGAGCCAGUUGGCCGCAGCAGCAGCAGCAGUGACGGCGUUACCAUCCUCUAUCGCCUUCUUCUUGGCUUCGGCCUUCCCGCGAGCGAGACGGUCGGCUUCGGUUGGUGAAGACAUGGCGAUGACGAAGGCGGCACAUACGUAGAUGAAGCAGAUGGACGAAGGCGAGAAGUCGCGUGAUCGCUCCCAAAAAACCUAAUCGCCCCUCUCCCGUACAGGAUCUGGAGAGGCGGGGUUUCGGAGGCCUCCUCUCCCGUCGACUGUGUACGUGGUGAACGCGACGGAGUCGUCGGCGAUAGCAGCAGCAAAAGGAAAGAGCGCGUGAGGCAGAGGCGAUCUGAUCUCCUGACGGCUAGGGUUGGCGUUAGCCCUCCUUAUAUAGGUGCGGCCGGGUGGAGAGAUGUGGGCUGGACCCACGUCCGAGUCGGUAACAGCCCACGAUCCGUCGUCUUGGAUAGUGGCGUGUCCGUUACAUACUCUUUGUUCCUGACCGACAAAAAUGUAUGAGCUCGGCUCAUUCCCGCAACCCGCGACGCGACACGGUGAGCGGAGGAGGAGGAGGAGUGUGUGAGGGCCUCUUCUCUUCUCAUGCUCCAAUAGCAUGUAGAAGAGAGACCCUUGUAAAGGGGUCCAAGUCCCUCUCCACUAGCAAGGUGGGACUAAACUUCCCACCACCCCUUGCCAUGCCAACACCUACAUGGGCCAUUUCUAAAAUCUUAUCAUGGGCCUUAGGACCGUCACAGAUUUCAACAAUCCCCCACCAGAUCUCAAGGGCACAUUGUAUUCUUCCGUUCCAAUCACUGUUUUGAUAUACCAGCAUUUUAGUGAAGACCUGUUAAGGUUGAGCUUCACUUAGAGCAAGCAGCUACACUCCUUUACAAGAACAAUGGACUAUGCCUUGAAUUGUCAGUUUGGCGUAAAGAAGUUUCACCACAAGUAUUACUAGUACUAGGCUGCCGAAGGCGGACCCCUCGGGUGGAGCAUAUUAGUCACACUCCUAGUCUAUUCAUGAGUUUACUAGAGAUCACCCCAAUCUCAUAGACUGUGACCAGCAGUCGGGCUCAUAUAGGUGUGUUCCUCCAAAGAUCGCUCUGUAGGACAGCAUCUUGCUUACACAUAAACAUUAGAACACAUUAAGACAAUAUUCAUCCUACCAUACAGUAUCCGAGAGUAUUGCAUCUCCAACGGAGUGGGUUAGUAAAGUUACUCUCCUCAGUUCACCAUUCGCUUGUUUUCGCAGGUCCUACUUCAUGGGAUCUUUGAUCAUAUAGGUUGGGAUACUGCCAUGGCAACUCAUGUGGUUCUCAUACCCAUCUCCCUCGAUGCAUUAUCUAUCACAACACAUAGGAGCCCUUUAGUAAAGGGAUCUGCCAGAUUCUUAGCCGUUUAGAUGUAAUCCAGCGCUAUCACUCCGGAUUUUCUUAAACGUCUGACAUACUUCAAUAUCAUUCUUAUAUGUUUGUUGGACUUCAUGUUGUCCUUUGAACUCUUCACUUUGACAAUAAAUGUCUGAUUAUCGCGGUUCAUAAGAAUAGCCGGAACCGGCUUCUCAACCAUUGGCAAGUCCAUCAAAAUAUCUCUAAGAAAUUCUACUUCGACACUAGAUGUGUCUUAUGUUGUUAAUUCUACUUCCAUCGUUAAUUGAUCUCGUUAAAAUCGUUUGCUUGCAAGACUUCCAGGAAAUAGCACAACCUCCAAGAGUAAACAUAUACCCAGUAGUGGCCUUCAUCUCAUCAGCAUCAGAGAUCCAAUUCGCAUCACUAUACCCUUCAACUAUCGAUGGGUAUCCCGUAUAGUGUAGUCUGUGGUUGAUAGUACCUUUCAGAUAGUGCAUAAUUCUUUCAACAGCACGCCAAUUAACAUCACCCGGAUUGGCAACAAACCGGCUCAGUUUGCUCAUAGCAAACGCGAUGUCAGGCCUCGUUGCGCUAGCUAGAUACAUAAGUGAACCAAUAAUUUGAGAGAAUCUUAAUUCAUCUAUAGAUGUGCCUCUGAACUUUCGAAUCAACACACUAGGAUCAUAUGGUAUUUGAGAAAUUUUGCAGUAUGAAUAUCCAAAGCGACUCAAAAUCUUCUCAACAUAGUGGGAUUGCACAUGUGUAAUCCCACCCUCAUCAUCUCUCAAAAGCUUGAUGUUCAAGAUAACAUCAGCCACCCCAAGGUCCUUCAUCUCAAAGUUCUGAGAUAGAAAAGACUUAACCUCCUCAAUCACUUUGAGGUUGGUUCCAAAUAUCAGUAUGUCAUUAACAUACAAGCACAAUAUAACUCCUUCGCCCCCACCAUGGCGAUAGUAUAUACAUUUUUCACCUUCAUUAACAACGAAGCCAACAUAUGUCAAAGUUGUAUUAAACUUCUCAUGCCAUUUCUUAGGUGCUUGUCUCGGGCCAUAUAAAUAUUUCAACAACUUACACACCUUUCCUUCCCGACCAUCUAUCACAAAGCCAUCUCGCUGUUGCUAUAGAUUUCCUCGUUUAGCUCUCCAUUAAGGAAAGUUGUCUUAUCGUCCAUUUGAUGAACGAGAAGACCAUGCGAGGCUGUCAACGAGAGUAGUACUCGAAUGGUGGUCAGUCUGGCCACAGGUGAAUAAGUAUCACAGAAAUCUUCUUCUUCUUUCUUGGCAUAGACCUUGUCCACAAUUAUAGCCUUGUAGUUUUCAAUUGUACCAUCAGGCCUAAGCUUCCUUUUGAACACCCACACGCAUGCCAAUGGAUUGCAACCAUAGGGAUGAUCAGUAAUUUCCCAUGUCGCAUUAGCCAUGAUGGAAUCCAUCUCUCUAGGGACCGCGGCUUUCCAGUAUUCGGCAUUUGGAGAUGCAUACACAUUUGAAAUGGAAGUGGGAUUAUAAUCCACGAGGUAUACGAAGAAAUCAUCACCAACGGUCUUUGGAGUCCUUUGUCUCUUGCCCCUACCAAAGGUUUCCACGUCAUCCUCCUCAGGAUUUUCAUCAUGUGUUUGUUCAUAAUUUUCCAUAGGAAUGGCAGGCUCGGGAGUUUCCUCAUAUUCCUGUCUACAAGUGCUUUGCAUAUCUUUCAUGGGAAAAAUAUCCUCAAAGAAUGUAGCAUCCCUCGACUCCAUAAUUGUUCCAACAUUCACGUCAGGUACCUCAGAUUUCACUGCUAGAAAUCUAUAGCCAACGCUAUUCUUAGCAUAGCCCAAAUUAACGUAGUCCACAACCUUUGGUCCAAGGUUAUGCUUUUUAGGGAUCGGCACAUUGACUUUCCCCAAGCAGCCCCAAGUACGGAUGUACGAUACCCUCAUCCUUCCCGUCGACCAUUCCUCAUAGGGUGUGACCUCAUUAUCUUUUGUAGGAACCAUAUUCAGGACAUGACAUGCACUCAAUAUAGCCUCCCCCCACCAUGCCUUGGAUAAACACGAUGUAUCUAACAUGGCGUUAACCAAAUCAGUUAGAGUACGGUUUUUUCGUUCGGCAACCCCGUUUGACUCGGGUGAAUAGGGAGGCGUCCUCUCAUGAAUAAUGUCCUGUUUCGCACAAAAAGAAUCAAAUUCAUUUGAGAAGUACUCUCCACCACGAUCAGACCGGACUUGUUUAAUUUUCUUUUAAAGUUGAUUCUCAACUUCUGCCUUAUAGAUUUUAAAGUAUUGUAGAGCCUCAUUUUUCGUAUUUAACACAUACACAUAGCAAUAUCUAGUGGAAUCAUCUAAAUGUCAUGAAAUAUUUCUUUCCACCUUUAGUCAACACACCAUUAAUCUCACAAAGAUCAGAAUGUAUGAGUUGUAAUGGCGCCAAGUGUCUCUCCUCUGCAGCCUUGUGAGGCUUGCAAGGUUGCUUGUCUUGCGCACAUGAAUGGCACAUAGAACCUUUGGCUGAAGUGAAACUCAAGAUUAAAUUCAGUUUUUCUAGCCGCGACAUAACACCGAAACUUAUGUGACAAAGACGAGGAUGCCAAACAUUAGAUUCAUUAACACUCGAAUGCAUAUUUUUCACGACUUUAUUACAAAAAUCUCCAAGGGAAAGGCAGAACAGACCUCCGCAUUCAUAACAUUUACCAACAAAAGGUCCAUAUUUCGUAACAACUACUUUAUUAGACUUGAAGACCAACUUAAACCCUUCUCUACACAGAAGGGAGCCACUAACGAGGUUCUUCUUGAUGGUGGGGACAUGUUGCACGUUCUUCAGCUGCACGAUCCUUCUUGGUAAACUUCAGAUCGACCGUGCUAACACCAAGAAUACAAGCACUCGCGCCAUUUCCCAUCAAUAUGGACCCUCGGCAUGUGACCUGGUAAGAAGUGAACAAUGAGAUGUCAGCACAGACAUGAAUAUUUACACCUGUGUCCACCCACCAAUUGGUAGAUUGACAAACUGAAAAUACAAUAAAAAAAUACCGUACCCAGAUGUACCACUUUCAUUGUUGCUAACAAUCAUAUUGGUAGACUUGGAGUCAUGCACUGGCUUCUUGUACUUGUUUGGACACUUACAGGCCCAAUGUUCCUUAGGACCGCAAUUGAAGCAGCCAUCUCCCUUCUUGUUCUUCUUGAAGGUCUUCUUAACCUUCUUAAAGUCACUAUUCUGUUGGACAGAAUUCUUCCCCUUGGGCUUGUGGGAAUUGAAGUUCCUCUCAUGCACCAUAUUGGCAACAAAAGGACCUUCGACCGUUUUUUUGUGCGAGUCCUUUGCUCUCGAGUUCUGCUCAACACUCAGAUGGCCGAUGAUAUCCUUUAUUGAGAAUUCACGCCUCUGAUCUUUCAGAGUGGUAGAAAAUUUCCUCCAGGAAUUAGGGAGCUUAGCGGUAUUACACCCCACGACAAAUUUCCUCGGUAAAUCGCACUUAAGAACCUCAAGUUCUUUAGCAAUGCAUAUUAUCUCAUGAGCUUGUUCCAAUAUAGAACGAUUAUCAACCAUUUUGUAAUCAUGGAACUGCUCCAUAGCAUACAUCUCGCUCCCAGCAUCGGUGGCCCCGAAUUUGGAUUCGAGCGCCUCCCACAAGUCAUCAGAAACGUGCACAUGUAAAAAUGCAUCAACUAGCUUAUCUCGAUGGGGUAGGCAUAAUCAUACAUCAUGCCUACUACCUCUUGUUGCAUAUAUACCUCACAAGCUUUGAGAAUGUAGUGGUCGUCCUUGCAUAAGUGAUUUUUCACAUAAUCCUCAAAAUACUGCAGCAACAGUACAUGUAGCAAUCAGAACAUCGAAAUAGUAUAUCAUGUUUUGUUCAAGGUUCUUGAUGGUAUGCAACUAAGAUAGGAAAACCUCAUGAGAUUUGAUUGCAUUCCUACAUGUGAGAGCUAGGCCAUAAUGGAAUUCCAUUUUAUAUUAAAAUGUUACCUUGAAGCAACUUUGUGCUGAUACAAGUGAUGGUUCAGGUUUUAUCAAUUGAAAAACAUAACCUCACUAAUUAUAACCUUAGGGACAUUAUGGUACUCACAAUAAUUAGUAAAAAUAUAUAUUUGUCUAAAAUAAAUGUAUAUUGGCUCAUGAGAGAGAAUUAGGAAGGUUAAACAUGGUGCUAAGAAAUUAUUAGUCUUGUUAUAAAGAAGAGAGCAGUCUUUCUAAAUUAUUAAGUAGUUCUAAAUUAUUAACUACUUAAUAACAAUACGAGACCAAUUCAUUGGCUAUCAAUAAGGGAGUGUACCAUACCAGGACGUCUCAAGAUAUACACACACAGAUACCUAAAAAUAAAACUUUGAAAAUCAAACAUUGAAAGUGAUAAUAAAUAGGUAUUUCAUAGGCACACAUGAUUAGGCAUAUCUUUGGAGGCUUUGUAUCUUUACUCCUAGAAUUUAUAGGAUUGACCUUGAAAGCUAACCUGGUCCUUAAAUAACCCCACAACCUUAAAAAUAUAAAUUAUGCAGGGCACACCUCAACUCCUAGUUUAGAAGAGAAUGAUUCAUUUGGAAGCAUGUUUACCAAAUGUUAUGUGGGGGGGCCCGACUCACAAGUCGAGAUCACCAAAUAUACGUGCACAGUGAUCCCAGAGGUCAAUGCUCUCUGAACACACAGAAACUGAAUAACAAGAGUCUUACAUCCAUUACGUAUCGUUUUACUCGAAUAUGGCAUUCAUGGUCAAGUCUUCAUAUAUUUGUAGCAGAAAAUCAUCAUCAAUAGCGUGAACCCAUGCCAUCUAUCUUAACCCUACGGGCAUUCUGAAUGGAAAGCGUCCUAGCUUGCACGAAUGUCGCCAAGGUAUUCUUCAUCAUAUCCUGUUCUCUCAUGGAUGGUAAGUAAAAUAACUAGGGGCAAGCCAAUGAGUACAUAGAAUGCGUCCGCAAGCAACCCAUGUUUGGAACAAGGCAAUAACAAUGCAAGAUAUAACACUAAGUAGGUAAUUUGCAGAAAGCUAGUUAAUUUUGAGCGCAAUGUCAGGAUCAAUCAACUUGUAAAAGCAUGCAUUAACAGGUUGCAAGUAUCCAUACGGACAAAACAUAGAUAUCAUCGUAAGCAAGGGGUUGAACAUCCCAUGUUCAUUUAUCAUGUCAAGUCAUCCGACUUAUCUCAAGUAUCAUCCUUCUCACACACACACACCAAGUUUGUGAAAACAUCUAGACGUAGUUUAAGCAGCACCACCCAACUGUCCUUGACCGUGGACAUGGCUAUUCGAAUAGUUUUACACUCUGCACAGGUUUGCACGUUGUACCCACAAGACUCGGGGAACUUUCGUGUCAUUCACGACUCGCGGUAUAUAACAUACCCGAGGUAAGCACCCGAACAAUGCAUUUCCUCUGGCGACACUAAACAAAGAGUCCACUCGGUUGGUACACAGCCCUCAUGAUGUACAUAAUACGAGCCUCCAUCUAGAUCGUACCAUCCACGAAGGGACCAAUGGUGUGCCCGGUCUCUGUAAAAAUAGCCCAUGGUCGCCCUACCUGGAACGACCCCGUGUUGAGAGAGUGACUCGGCUCUCCCCCCACUAGUAAUGUGGGCUCUCUGGUAGCAUCGACCAAAAUAUUCAACAAAGCCCCAUCCCAUAAAGGGGUAAUGUGGUCGCACAAAUAAGGUUGGGAUGGUCGACAAAUCUUAAAUUUAAUCCAUUUUCGAAGACACACACUCACAACUUGAUCCAGUACACCACUUCUUUCUCAAGUGGUCACCUAUCUCAACAUAAUAUCCCUUGGGCAUUAGUGGCACCCGACGGGGUUUUCAACAAAUCUUUGAAAUCAUUUCCUUCAUCCUCACCAUGCAUAUUCCCAUCCCAUUUGCGUAGCAAGUACUAGCAGCCUAACUAUCUCCCACCCGCACAACCCUCAUAGGAAGGUAGGGUCAUGCUCAGUGCAAGUAUCAACGAGGAGUUAUUGGAGACAACCCACCAAGGUGGUCACCGAUUCAACAUGAUUCAAAUGCAACGAAGUAAAGUUCCAUAUGACAUGCAUAAAAGGGUUUCAUAGUCAUGGUCAAAGGGUUGCUUGUAUGGCUCAGCAAAGUCUUCGAUGUCUUCAUAGCUUCUCGUCCAACUCCGAGCGAUUCGUCUAAUUCGUCAACUAUCACCGAAAACAACCACAAUAAGCCACACAACAAGCAGAGAAACAAAGGUGCUUUAUAAAUAGGAGUUUUAUUUUUAUUGGACAUUUCUGGUCAUAAGAAAAAUUUCUAAAUAUUGUUCUAAUGGAUUUGGAUCACCGGAGAAUUUUGAACGGAGGAAAUGGAGGCAUCACUGGCCCCACACGAAGUCUACAGAAAAUAUUUCCUUCAAAAUGAAUGGAGGCCUUCAUUUAAUAGGGCAUGAUUUUAGAAUACUUUUGGAAGUGGUUUCAAUAGAUUUGGAGUUGAUAUGAAUUCCCUAGAGAUUUAAUUAGAUGGAAUAAAAUGCAAAUGGAACUAUUUAUUCGGCCUAUCAGAAACAAUGCAUGAGAAGAAAAUGUUCACCUAGGCUACAAAAAUAGAGCAUGAUUUUACAGACAACUAGGAACAUGAAUCACUCCAUUUGGAGUUGAUUUGGAUGUUGUAGGAAUUUGCAAAGUGGGGGUUUGAAAUAUUCAAAUUUGAAUUUGAAUAUUAAUACUAUAGAAAAUAUCUCUAGAAAAAUGUGCAAUGGACAUAUUCAGAUAGCAUAUGAUUUUAGGAAUCUGCAAGAAUUUGAAUUACCUAUUCUAGAAUUCGUAUGAAUUUAAUAUCAAUUUUUGAAUCUCUCUUAAAAAGGAAAAUAAAAGAGAAGGCUAUACUCUAUAGGCUAUUCGGCGCUGAGGAUGCGGGGUAGGCAUGUGGAAGCAACGGGUCGGCCCAGGAGCUCUCGUGCGCGCCUUGGGUGGCCACCUCGAAGGCGCACUCCCUCGAUUGUGUCUUCCACACGAUUAGGCAGAAAAAGGCGCGGGGGGCCUCCAGUUAAACCGGAAGGCCCGGGUUUUGGCUUGCUGACAAGGGGCCCUGCCUGUAGGGCCGCUCCGUUGCACCAGUCGUCGAGCUGGUGGCCUUGGCGGAUGCCCCACCUUGGGCCGCACCCAUGAACUGUCUCGAGGGUCGCGAGGGUGCGCGGAGCCCUCUCCUCUCCAGGAGGGGCGGACGGGAGCGUCGACCGUUGCUAACAGCAUGGCACGGGCUCGCGAACGAAGGCUGGGGGUGCCUGGGUAGAAGCUCUUGUCGACGGCGACCCUUCGGAGUUGUCGGAUGAGGAGAGGGGGGACCGGCAUGCUCGAAUUUGAGUGGGGUCGAGCGGCAGCAAUGGCAGCCAUGGGAGGAGAAACGGGUCACGGGAGGAUGAGUGGGGAGGCCCAGGAGGCAAUUAGGGGUGAGAGGAAGCGAGAGGGGACAAGAGGGGGCUCGGGGAGGAGCAUUUAGGCAGAGGGAGGACCAGGAGGGGUCGCGUGCGCCUUGCAUGCCUUCGGGCGCGUCCACCAUGUGGGCCUGAGCCGCUUUGGAUCCUUCCUCACAUCAGGGAGAGGCGUGGGAGGAUGAGAGGAGAUGCCUGGCACGCUGGGAAGACCUACCGCUAUUGGACACCAGGUACAAGACGAGGACAACAUGCAAACCGUCGUUUCUACAGGCCACGGGUGUGGUCACCUUGCCAACCCGUAUCGAGAUCAUUAUUUUGGUCACCCCAAGUUGAGUGGGGUGCUAGGCUUGGAUGGUAGAGUGUGAUGGUGGAGUUUGGAUGCAUAUGAGGCCUGGUAGAAUUGGUUUCUACUCUGGUUAAGUUUGUAGCAGCAAAUUUGGGGCUGAGAAAAUGGCUUUUUACUGGUGGGCACUUGGAAGUAAACCUUGUCUAGUGUCCCUAGCUAUGCAAGGACUACAUGACCACCAAGUUUCAGCUCAGGGAGAUGAGAUUAGCUACCACUUGUAGUUCAAGGCUACAUUUCUGCCAAAAAUCUAGUUUUCGAAGGACUGCUCACAUUAUCCACAUGAGCAUGCCAUCUUUGGGCUUGGAUUGAUGCAUCACUAUGCAAAUGAGGUUGUGGUAGAGUUUUGGGGGAAUUUGCAUGCAUAGUAUAAUGGGAGAUGGAAAAGAGAGGUGUACCCAUGUUAUUCAAGUGGUAAAAUGGAGGGGUUUUACCCACCAAUAAUUGAGCAGAGGCCAAGCCAAAUUUCUGGAGGUAGAAUAGGGUCAGAAAAUAUGGUGGUAGAAAAUUGUAGGCAAGGGGAAUCUUUUUGGAUCAACAUUGCUUGUCCUCUAGUUUAUGGCAGAAGGUGUUUGUGCUAUGUUUGGGCUAGGUAUAAGAAUCCUAUGGCCUUGAUAUUUACCAUGAGUGAUGGUAAGACCAUUUGGCUGUGAUCACCAAUUUUGAGAUUACAUGGUGAAAGUUGACAAUGUAAACUUGACAAACCCUAGAAGUGGGCAGAAAUGCUUUCUCUUAAAUAAAUCCAUGCAAAUCAAUUCCCCAUAAUGCAGCACUUGGUGUGGUGGCAUUAUUUUAGGAUCAUAGUGUGCCCAAAAAGUUUGGGGUAAUUUGGACAAACUUUCCAAUGCAAAUAUUCCCAAUUCUAGAAAUCAGCAGAAGUGGUUUUGAGCGGUUUUGGACAAGUGGAUAUGUUCUCCUUGAUGCACCACUUGGUGUGGAUGCAUCAUUGGGGUAUUCUAACAUGUCCACAAAAUUUAAGAGCAAAAGGAUAAACUUGGCAAUGUAGAGUUGCUCAAAUUUGGUUCUGGAUAGAUUGGGUUUUGGAAUAUUUUUGUGAAUCAAAUCAAUUUGAAUUGAGAUGAAACUUUGCAAUAUCAUAACAUAUAUCAUGUGGGUCUUGCUAGAAUUUUCCUUGAAUUUAUUGAGAAUAUUUCUUGUGGUAAUAUUUCAAAAGCUUGAAAUAGGAAGAAAAGGUUUUGAGAGAUUCUGUCCAAUAUUUUAACAUGACAAUGUGUUGAAACUCUUAUAUAUGGAAAACUAUAUGUCCACUGAGUUUCCCUAAAUUUUCUCAAAUAUUUUGGAAGCAAGAAAAAUAUUUUUUCUUCACAAAAAACCAUUUUUGGCUUUAGAAAAGGUAUUUAAAUAAAAUAGGAAAAAAAUUAGUAUUGGGAAAUCUUUUUGAUAAUAGGAUCAAAAUAAAAUAUUUGGGGAAAAACAUAUUCCCUAUUUUGAGGACUUGUAGUACAAACCUCAAUUCGGGGGGGUGGAAAGCUAAAUCAAAUAAAUGCUUUCUGGUUAAAACGAUAUUUUAUAAAAAUAGUUUAUGUUCCUAUACACAUGGUGUGACGCCCUCGGCUUAAUCGUACGCUAAUCAUACACGCAAAUGCGUACGACCAAACCCAAGGACUCACGGGAAGAUAUCACAACACAACUCUAGACACAAAUGAAAAUAACAUCAACUUCAUAUUACAAGCCAGGGGUCUCGAGGGCUAGAAUACGAAAGCUCGAUAAACACACGAGUCAGCGGAAGCAACAAAUAUCUGAGUACAGACAUAAAACAUGGGGUGCCUUAGAGAAGGCUAGCACAAAAGAUACAACGAUCGAACGAGGCGAGGCCUCCUGCCUGGGAACCUCCUAACUACUCCUGAUCAUCAGCGGCCUCCACGAAGAAGACACCAUCGGGCCGGCAGGCGCCGGCAGGAAACUCCACUCCUGGGCUCCAUCAUCUGGUCACAGCAACGGAUCAAGGGGACAAAGGGGGAGCAAAGCAGCGGUGAGUACUCAUCCAAAGUACUCGCAAGUCUUACAUCAGAACUAUUCUAAAUAUGCAUCAGUAUCAAAGAAGGGGGGUGUUAUAUGUGGACUGACUGCAGCAAGGCGAGAAUAAAGAGAGAAGGCCUAGUCCUAUCGAAGACUAGCAUCUUCAGGGUCUUGCAGCAAUAGACGAGAAUAGAACAGGGGUAAAACAUUAAUAGUCAUAUUGUUGCAGCAAUAUUAAAGUGAGGUCGCGCCUAAAGAUCCUCCCUCGACUCCCUGCGAGGAAGCAAUCCCGAGGCAAACUAAUUCCAGUUAAAUAACAAUUGUAGUUGUAAAAGAUCGGGGCACAACUCCAAGUCGUCCUGUAACCGUGGACACGGCUAUCUGAAUAGUUAAUUUUCAUCCCUGCAGGGGUGCACCACAUGUCCCGUCACGCUCGAUAACACUCUGGCCGGACAUACUUUUCUUGGUCCUGCCCGGCCUCGGAAUAUCGACACGUCGCAGCCCCACCUAAGACUAAUCAGAGAGGCCAGCCCGCCGGUCUAAAUCCUAAGCACAAAGGGUUCGUGGGCCCAGUUCCCCUUCACGCUCCUGCAUGUGGCGUGGGCGGCCGACGUCAGUCCUAGCAUCCCUUAAUCACAAGCGCGAUGCAUCUCGGGACCACUCGGGCGCGCGCCGCUACAUUGCUGGCAUCUGAAAAGCUUCGGCUGAUACCGCGACGCUGAGUACCCAUAAUUCUUCCCGCGUAGCCGGUUAGUGCGAAAAGGUCUCCGACCAACCCAGAUCAAAUACCCAAAUCCAUUAACAUUUUAAUUAGGCCAGCAACACAGUCUCACGGGAAUCCACCCGUCUUACAACUAAUCACCAAUGAUCCCAGUAACAUGGUCGAGUAACUGUGUGGUUGUGACAUCGGGGGGAAUCCGAGGUAUCACCCUCGUUGGAUUCCGAACGAUGUACCCGCCAAGGUGGGCUUAGAGGAAUCACCCUUGAGGUUCCCACACUUGAGGGGUUGCACGAUAGAGGCAUCGUCGGGAAUGGUGAAAGAGGAAUCACCCUCGAUAACCACGACCGACUAGCUAUACUACAGAGAUAUCAUCAGGAGUACUUAGUGAGGUGUCACCCUCGGUACCCGAUAGUAUCUCUGUAGCGUCGUACAACGAAGGGGGGUGAAUGUGCUGUGUCGGGUCUGGCUCGUCGAUCAGAGAUCGAGAUUUGAAAACAAGCGGGGCAACUGAACUACGGGGUCAGAGGGGAUGACUGCUCCACCUAUACUAAGCAGAUUAAAGGUAAAAGACUGAAAGUAGCAGUUCAUCAAAAAUUAGGCUAUGCAUCAGAUAUUGGAGCUAACUACAACAGUAGCAAAAUACUAAUGCAAGCAGUAGAAAGAAAGACAUAGGCGAUAUAGGAAUGAUCAAGGGGAAUUUGCUUGCCUUGCUGCUCUGCGGCAAAGGACUGAUCGGCAGGGUCGUAGAUGUACCCGGCAGCAGCGUCAAUCUCGGGGUCUACCGGUAAGAAGAGGGGGAAGAAACAAUAAAUAAUAGCACCGAUGCAACACAAAGCAUGACAUGGCAAGAUGCAGGUUAGACAUGAACUAACGCAGCAACAUCCGUCAUAGACGGGUCGGAAGAAUAUCUGACGAUAUUUUCCGGGUCUCGGGCUACUACCGGUUAUACUGGAAACGAUGGGAAAGUUCCAUGUUUGCUAUGCUAGGGACGCGUGACAAACGAACGGGCCGUGUAUCCGGGUUCGUCUCGUUUUGCUGAUCAACUUUCAUGUUGAAAUUAUUUUGAUCUGACUUACGGAUUAUUUUAUAUUAAUUUUCAAAGUUUUAUUAAUUAUUUAGGAAUUAAAAACAGAUUUAAAUGAUUUAAUAAAAUCCCAUUAUGACAUCAUCGCGAUGUCAGGCUGGCAUCAGCAGUUGACUGGUCAACUGACCAGCGGGUCCCGAACGUCAUAGGCACAAGUUUUAAUAUCGAUUAAAUAUGGAUUUAUCAGAUUAAUUUAAUGAGGGACCCACGUGGCAUUCUCUCAUUAUUCUAAUUAAUUAAUUUAACUAAUAUAUCUAUUUAUUUAUUUAAUAAAAACAUUAUUUUUAUUUUUAGUUUAACUAUCGCGUGGGGCCUCCCUGUCAUAGACAGCGGGUGCGUUGCCCCACCGGUAAGUGACCCAAGGCCAUUUACUCAUUUUAUUAAUCACAAAUACAUAACCAUACACAUGUCGUAUUUCUCCACAUGCCUAUAUACGCAAAUACAUACGUAAAUACGGGUAUCAAAUACAUACAUACAUACAUACGGAAUACAACAUUUGUUUUUUCUAUUUUCUCUCAAAACUCUCAUCUCCCUCUGUGUUAAAGAGAGACACAGAACUCACUUUCUGCUAACUCAACAUAGAAGAACCAAGUGUUCAAUCCCUCCUACCGGAGUCUACCGUCGACGGAUCGGGGUCCCGUUUGCCGGAACGGAACCGAGGCGGUGAGGAGAUCGACAUGGUGGGAGGAGCCCGAGGAGGGGCUCACCGACGGUGACGAGACGGCCCGAUGAAGCCGGAGUUCGCACGAAGGUGAAGGUGACGACGGUGACGCGGUUCCGGUGAAGACGGGCGUGCCGGCAAGGAGGAGCCGGCCGGAGGUUCGCCGAGAGGGGCCCCGGUGGGGAGGGGCCCCCGGAGAUGGAGCCGGCUGGAGUGGGUGAGGCCGACAAGAGGGACCUCGAGGAGGUCGGGGCCCCUGCCGGCGGGGUGGAGACCGAGGGGGGGGGCUCGCCGGCGGGAGAAUGGGGCCGUGGGGGGGAACUCGCCGCCGGAGGAGGAGGAGUGGUGGCCGGCGGUUGGAGGAGCAGGGGCUCGCCGGCCGGGAGAGGGGAGGGGCUCGCCGGCCGGAAGGAGGAGGCCGUUGGGAAGUGAGAUGAGGGAUCGGCUCGCCGGCGGNACGGGAGGGGAGCCGAGGUGGGAGGGAUCUGGGGGAGUGGGGGCUCUCGGUGAGGGGAGGGAGCUACGGGACGUGGGGUGUGGGGGUCUCGGUGGGGUGGGGGCUGUCGGUGGGGGGGGGGAAGGGAGACCGAGAGGGGGAGGGAGAGGUGGCGGCGGCAGGAGGGGAGGGAGCGAGAGGGGCUCCCUCGCCYYGGGGGGUCUAGGGUUUGAGGGGUGGGGCGCGGGGGCCUGGCCAGUUGGGCCUUUUGGCCCAGCCAGGCCAGGGGGGUGGGGGGUUUCUUCUUCUUCUUCUUUUUUGUUGUUGUUGUUUUGUUUUGUUUUAUUUUGUUUUCUUUCCUAUUUAUUUUACUAACUGAUUUUUCUUUUUAAAUACUUUCUUUUAUUAUACUUUCUUUUACAAUUUAUUAUACAUACUUUUAAUUCUCUCUUUCAUAUACAUAUUCUUUUAAUACUUGUAAUGAACUGAUAAAGUACUUUCCUUUUGUUUUGAAAUUUUGGAUCCGGACAGACUCGAAUCAACGCGGGUCUGAGAUGGGAAUUCGAUGACGUGGCAUCAUUAGAGGUUGAUCACUGUAGCUUAAUUACAAUAAUUACUGUAGCAAAAGUCGAGGAUGUCACAAUUCUUCCCUACUAACAAGAAUUCUCGUCCCGAGAAUUAAGAGGUAGAGGGAAAGAGCCCGGGGUAUUCAUCACGAAGAUGAUCCUCGCGUUCCCAAGUGGCUUCAGCUCUAGAAUGAUUUGACCACUGCACCUUAAGGAACUUGGUGACUUUGCGACGAGUCUUACGUUCGGCUUGGUCGAGAAUGCGGACCGGAUGCUUCUUAUAAGAGAUGUCUUGUUGCAGCUCAAGCAUACCAUGAUCCACUGCUCGAAUAGGAUCCUUGAAGCAGCAACGGUGCUGAGGAACACGGAAGACAUCGUGAACCUGAGAAAGGUUCGCUGGCAGUUCCAAUUGUUAAGCCACUGUUCCACACCUUUCGAGAACAGUGAAAGGACCAAUAUAAAGAGGAGCUAACUUGCUCUUGAUCUUAAAACAAUGUGCACCUCUCAUUGGUGUGACGUGAAGAUCAACCUUUACGCCAGGUUGAUAUAUCAUAUCUUGAUGAUGACGGUCAUACCGACUUUUCUGACGAGACUGAGCAGCCUUCAGAUUCGCAUGAAUAAUGUGGACUUGAUCUUUAGUAUGUUGAAUAAUAUCCGGACCGAAGAGUGAUCGGUCCAUUGAACGGUGGCUCGAGAAUUUCAUACGAAGCCAAGUGUAAAGGAUACUUUGGAGUCAAAGAUGUACAGGAGAGUCAGGUUUCAAUCCUGUGGAACUUUGGGUUAUGGGUCCACCAUGUGGGCCGAGAGUAGACAGAGGGGUGACAUAUUACAUGGUCUUGGUAACAAGACAUGUCAGAGGAUAACCUGUCAGUUAUGUUGGCAACAUCGUCGAUACCAAGGGCGGGGAACGAAUAGAACCAUUUUCCUGCUCGUUGAAACGAGGCGGGCCAAUAGGCAAGGUUCUGUCCACCGGCGGCUACCGGAAUGUUAUCCACAAUAGUAACACGGUCUUACUGACAGAGUUGUACACCAAGAAUUUUACCUAAGCAGGGAAUUAACACUGCUUAGAUAAGUUAUGCCACAAUAAAAAAUCAAACAGACCAAUGGGAAGGGAAAAUGUGUUCACACACACAAGUAUUAGAGUAUACCAUUCCCGAGGAAAUCAUAGAGUAUGGUAUACAUGAUAGGUCAUCCAGUACAUAACCAUCUUGGUAAAGAGACAAGAAGAAUCAUCAUGUUUAUCCAUACCAUGCGGUUUGGAUAAUUGAUCAGGAACAGUUUAGCAUCGCGCUUCCAAUGUUCCUGUUGAAAUUUAAAUUACCACAUCCGUGCUUUGGGGUAGCAUCGACAUGGUCAUCAGACAAAGGUUGGACUUAGGGGUAUACAAGAGGAACCAGGAGGGACAACUUACAAAGCUAAGUCAUACAAUUUCCUCAUGGUAGAAUGGCGAACCUUACAUAUGGAAGGAUUUAUAACAAUAGGUCCUCCGACCCAGUGUGCCAGACAAGACAUCACUGUACCGGUUUUCCUAAAGACCAAAGUUAUAAUUAUUGGGAAAUGUUCCAACCAUCAUAUCUUCCAGAGAAUUAGAUCUGAUUGGUGCCGGGACACCUCACACUCAAGAUGACUGAGAAGAAAAAUGAAGACGCAAGAUUCUCAUGAUAUGAACUACACAAGCAAUUCUUGAAUCAAGAGUUUGAUAUAAUACAUAUGAACACAAUGUCAAGACAUUCGUGCCCACAUAGAAUUUGUACGUCAAAAUGCAACUGGGUUCUCAUUUGGACACCAUCAUAGAGGAUAACAACGCUCCAUGUGUAAGUCUGGAUUAGCUCCUACGAAAGAACUUCUUUUCCUUGAUCAAAUCAGUCAGUAGCUUGACGUGCUAAGAGAAAUUAUAUGGAGUGAGGAUAGCAAAUCUUCAAAACAUAUAACACUUCGCACAUGCGUGAAUGAUUUGGUAUUUCACGAGAGGAAGCGAAACAAAACUUUCCAUAUUCACGGCGGAAAGAGUGCAUGUGAACUUUUGGGAAAACCUUUAGGCUAAUGCUUUCAAGAGCUUCACCGUGGAACAUGAAGAAGCUGAGGGUGUGUCUGAUGGGCUCAACAACAAUCCCUCAAGGUUUUGACAGGGUUGAAUUUCCAAAAUUAUAAUAACAAGGAGUUAGCAUUUGUCAAAUCAAAUGGUAUAACGUCGUAUGUUCGAGGGAACAACAACAGUUAAACAUUGGUCGAAGGGUGCACUCGGAAAUACGGGUUGAGUAGCACAACCAAUGCUAAAAUGAUGAGUCAACACCCAACACACCAAGAAGGAAACAAUCAGUUGUUAACCUCAAGGGGAUAGGAUUGACAGAAGUAUGGGAAUCACACAUCAGAGUUCAUUUGUCGGUAUACCGGUUAGAAACAACACGGGACCAAGAAAUGAAUGGUGAUGGCAAGAAGUAUUACUAUAUCAAGAAUUCUUAAUACGCGUGCAAUUUUCACGACAUUCUUGACAUACCAGAUAGUAAUACUCCAAGGUAGAAGAUAACAUAAGCUGGACAGUGAGUAACACAAAGGACAACACAAAACAUGAACACGUUUGUCUUGGAGGGAAAGCAACACGGGUGUCGAUGAUAAUACAAUCAUCGAGGGAAAGGGAUGGUAUUUCUCAACAUGCAUUCAAUUGAUACCCUCCAAGAGCUCCGAAUGCUGAUGGUGAUCACGACACAUUUGUCGAGAAAUUUCACGAAGAUGUAAUCGUUUAGCGACGACAUCAAGCAAGGGAAUGAUGAAGCAAGAGGUUGUCGGAAACACAGAUAAGACUGCUCGCUUAGAAUUGAGAUUGCCUUUCAAGACAACCAACAUGAGGUGGAAAGCCCGAUGCAAGCUUAACGCACAGUUGGUAUUGUGUUCCAGGGAUGAAGGGUAUAGAUAGCAAGGACGAGCUCCAACAUGACGAUGAUGAUGUAGCUUAACAACUUGGAAUGACAUGAUCGAGUACAAACUCGUAAACAAGGAAGAUUACUAAAAAUUGUUGAAUCGUAAUGCGUACUCGAUUUAGUUAUCGAUGUACUCACGUGUCCAACAACUCAAACACGAGGAAAACUGGAAUUAAUGAAGAUAUCAUAGUUGAUGAGGAGCUCACAAGAUGUUAUAUUGCUCCGCGAUAUCCUCGAGCUACAAGGAAUAAUACUCGGAGGUAGAUCAACUUUAAGGUUUGGACCGAUGUAUCGAUCUGAAGAAGACAAGUACUUUAACUCGUCUGAGAAUUGAAAUUAAGGUAGGACAACAUGGUCGGAACCACGAUUACAAAGGGACAAGAUCACCGAUACCAGAUUAAACCACAUAAUGAAUUGAUUAUUUAUACGAGAAGUUUCUAUGAUAGGAUCAACGUCGUUUCCAUGGGCAUGAACACAAAGUUCAAGGUCGACUCCCACUUCAUCAAUGCAUCACCUGCCAUUUAUUCCUCGCCUUGGAUCAAGUUGUAGCUUGAAAGAACAUUUGGCAAAACACCAGAAGAGCAAGACUUGUGAAAACUCUUCAGGUCAUAUUGAUUAAGGAAGGCACAUGUUCAACCCAUCGGGGCAUCUUAGGAACAUAUACCACAAACUUCAAGAGUAAUUAACACAUGCUUGAAGGGCAUGGCUGACAAAUCGUAUGGUACAACUUAUCAAAGGGAGAAGACACAAUUUACCAAUGACAUUACGUAUCAGUGGAACACUAUCACAAGAAUUUUUGAAUGCAAAUGAUGCCGUCGCUUAGUAACCCAGCAAUGGUCGUGGUAAUCCACAAAGGACCUGAUGUGAGUAUCGGUACUCAAUCAGAGGGGGUAAAACGCAAGGCAUCGAAUUAUAAAACAUCUGAAAAAGGCUGAUAUUUAAUUACCAAAGGAAUUAGGAUUUCCAGGUUGGUGUAUCAUAAUCAGAUACUCCAAUCAAAUACAAGUAGGUUGAAUGGACUUAGAUGGACAACCCACCAAAAUUUGAUUUGUCGAGAACCAACUCGGUCUGGGAGGACGUCUGAGCCGGUAGAUAAUUUAUGAGCCACAACAGAUGAUCGUGUGCAUUCACAAAAAGGUAGAAUCAAUAAAAUCACAGGAAAAUCACAAAGGAUUUUAAUGAAUGGUGCUAGACAUAUGGAUUUAACCAUAAUGCAAGCAGGUGAGAAAGGUCAUGAACAUGUGGCUACGGAGGAGGAUUUCGGAAGACCGAAUAGUAAUUCAGAGAGCUAUCGGAACCCAUGACAACUGAUGACGGACAAAUCCCUGAUAAGGUAAUUCGUUGCAUCUCGUAAUAACAAGAACAAUUGGAGAAUAAAGUAUGAACGACAUAUGUAUGUAGUCAUCCAUAGUGAUAGUCGGAGGAAAGGAAAUCGCAAGAGCGAUAGGCACUAGUUCUCGAGAUAACAUCAGAGAGUAACUUCGGAGUCUUCUGAUAGAUCAAGCCAUCGUCUGAAAUACGAGACUCCUUGGGAGAAAAUAUUUACGCGAACCUAAUGUUAGAGUUAGUAAAAUCUUUAAACCCGAAAGAGAAGAGAGAGUAGAGCCCAGAGUAUAGGAAAGGAGUAAAAGAUACUAAUACCACCCAAUUGAGAUGUGGGCCCGUAAGCCACAACAUCAGUGUUAGUAAAGUUUUUCAAACACUAGACUCAACUUCGGCCAAGGAGUUGGAAAGGGGGCUACCUACAGGCAGUUGGCUCUGAUACCAACUUGUGACGCCCUCGGCUUAAUCGUACGCUAAUCAUACACGCAAAUGCGUACGACCAAACCCAAGGACUCACGGGAAGAUAUCACAACACAACUCUAGACACAAAUGAAAAUAACAUCAGCUUCAUAUUACAAGCCAGGGGUCUCGAGGGCUAGAAUACGAAAGCUCGAUAAACACACGAGUCAGCGGAAGCAACAAAUAUCUGAGUACAGACAUAAAACAUGGGGUGCCUUAGAGAAGGCUAGCACAAAAGAUACAACGAUCGAACGAGGCGAGGCCUCCUGCCUGGGAACCUCCUAACUACUCCUGAUCAUCAGCGGCCUCCACGAAGAAGACACCAUCGGGCCAGCAGGCGCCGGCAGGAAACUCCACUCCUGGGCUCCAUCAUCUGGUCGCAGCAACGGAUCAAGGGGACAAAGGGGGAGCAAAGCAGCGGUGAGUACUCAUCCAAAGUACUCGCAAGUCUUACAUCAGAACUAUUCUAAAUAUGCAUCAGUAUCAAAGAAGGGGGGUGUUAUAUGUGGACUGACUGCAGCAAGGCGAGAAUAAAGAGAGAAGGCCUAGUCCUAUCGAAGACUAGCAUCUUCAGGGUCUUGCAGCAAUAGACGAGAAUAGAACAGGGGUAAAACAUUAAUAGUCAUAUUGUUGCAGCAAUAUUAAAGUGAGGUCGCGCCUAAAGAUCCUCCCUCGACUCCCUGCGAGGAAGCAAUCCCGAGGCAAACUAAUUCCAGUUAAGUAACAAUUGUAGUUGUAAAAGAUCGGGGCAAAACUCCAAGUCGUCCUGUAACCGUGGACACGGCUAUCCGAAUAGUUAAUUUUCAUCCCUGCAGGGGUGCACCACAUGUCCCGUCACGCUCGAUAACACUCUGGCCGGACAUACUUUUCUGGGUCCUGCCCGGCCUCGGAAUAUCGACGUCGCAGCCCCACCUAAGACUAAUCAGAGAGGCCAGCCCGCCGGUCUAAAUCCUAAGCACAAAGGGUUCGUGGGCUCAGUUCCCCUUCACGCUCCUGCACAUGGCGUGGGCGGCCGACGUCAGUCCUAGCAUCCCUUAAUCACAAGCGCGAUGCAUCUCGGGACCACUCGGGCGCGCGCCGCUACAUUGCUGGCAUCUGAAAAGCUUCGGCUGAUACCGCGACGUCGAGUACCCAUAAUUCUUCCCGCGUAGCCGGUUAGUGCGAAAAGGUCUCCGACCAACCCAGAUCAAAUACCCAAAUCCAUUAACAUUUUAAUUAGGCCAGCAACACAGUCUCACGAGAAUCCACCCGUCUUACAGCUAAUCACCAAUGAUCCCAGUAACAUGGUCGACUAACUGUGUGGUUGUAACAUCGGGGGGAAUCCGAGGUAUCACCCUCGUUGGAUUCCGAACGAUGUACCCGCCAAGGUGGGCUUAGAGGAAUCACCCUCGAGGUUCCCACACUUGAGGGGUUGCACGACAGAUGCAUCGUCGGGAAUGGUGAAAGAGGAAUCACCCUCGAUAACCACGACCGACUAGCUAUACUACAGAGAUAUCAUCAGGAGUACUUAGUGAGGUGUCACCCUCGGUACCCGAUAGUAUCUCUGUAGCGUCGUACAACGAAGGGGGGUGAAUGUGCUGUGUCGGGUCUGGCUCGUCGAUCAGAGAUCGAGAUUUGAAAACAAGCGGGGCAACUGAACUACGGGGUCAGAGGGGAUGACUGCUCCACCUAUACUAAGCGGAUUAAAGGUACAGGACUGAAAGUAGCAGUUCAUCAAAAAUUAGGCUAUGCAUCAGAUAUAGGAGCUAACUAUAACAGUAGCAAAAUACUAAUGCAAGCAGUAGAAAGAAAGACAUAGGCGAUAUAGGAAUGAUCAAGGGGAAUUUGCUUGCCUUGCUGCUCUACGGCAAAGGACUGAUCGGCAGGGUCGUAGAUGUACCCGGCAGCAGCGUCAGUAUCGGGGUCUACCGGUAAGAAGAGGGGGAAGAAACAAUAAAUAAUAGCACCGAUGCAACACAAAGCAUGACAUGGCAAGAUGCAGGUUAGACAUGAACUAACGCAGCAACAUCCGUCAUAGACGGGUCGGAAGAAUAUCUGACGAUAUUUUCCGGGUCUCGGGCUACUACCGGUUAUACUGGAAACGAUGGAAAAGUUCCAUGUUUGCUAUGCUAGGGACGCGUGACAGACGAACGGGCCGUGUAUCCGGGUUCGUCUCGUUUUGCUGAUCAACUUUCAUGUUGAAAUUACUUUGAUCUGACUUACGGAUUAUUUUAUAUUAAUUUUCAAAGUUUUAUUAAUUAUUUAGGAAUUAAAAACAGAUUUAAAUGAUUUAAUAAAAUCCCAUUAUGACAUCAUCGCGAUGUCAGGCUGGCAUCAGCAGUUGACUGGUCAACUCACCAGCGGGUCCCGAACAUCAUAGGCACAAGUUUUAAUAUCGAUUAAAUAUGGAUUUAUCAGAUUAAUUUAAUGAGGGACCCACAUGGCAUUCUCUCAUUAUUCUAAUUAAUUAAUUUAACUAAUAUAUCUAUUUAUUUAUUUAAUAAAAACAUUAUUUUUAUUUUUAGUUUAACUAUCGCGUGGGGCCUCCCUGUCAUAGACAGCGGGUGCGUUGCCCCACCGGUAAGUGACCAAGGCCAUUUACUCAUUUUAUUAAUCACAAAUACAUAACCAUACACAUGUCGUAGACAAAGAACUCACUUUCUGCUAACUCAACAUAGAAGAACCAAGUGUUCAAUCCCUCCUAUCGGAGUCUACCGUCGACGGAUCGGGGUCCCGUUUGCCGGAACGGAACCGGGGCGGUGAGGAGAUCGACAUGGUGGGAGGAGCCCGAGGAGGGGCUCACCGACGGUGACGAGACGGCCCGAUGAAGCCGGAGUUCGCACGAAGGUGAAGGUGACGACGGUGACGCGGUUCCGGUGAAGACGGGCGUGCCGGCGAGGAGGAGCCGGCCGGAGGUUCGCCGAGAGGUGCCCUAGUGAGGAGGGGCCCCCGGAGAUGGAGUCGGCCGGAGUGGGUGAGGCCGGCAAGAGGGACCUCGAGGAGGCCGGGGACCCUGUCGGCGGGGUGGAGGCCGAGGGGGGAGCUCGCCGGCGGGAGAAUGGGGCCGUGGGGGGAACUCGCCGCCGGAGGAGGAGGAGUGGUGGCCGGCGGUUGGAGGAGCAGGGGCUCGCCGGCCGGGAGAGGGGAGGGGCUCGCCGGCCGGAGGGAGGAGGCCGUGGGGAAGUGAGAUGAGGGAUCGGCUCGCCGGNACCGAGAGGGGGAGGGAGAGGUGGCGGCGGCAGGAGGGGAGGGAGCGAGAGGGGCUCCCUCGCCAGGGGGGUCUAGGGUUUGAGGGGUGGGGCGCGGGGGCCUGGCCAGUUGGGCCUUUUGGCCCAGCCAGGCCAGGGGGAUGGGGGGGUUUCUUCUUCUUCUUCUUCUUUUGUUGUUGUUGUUUUGUUUUGUUUUAUUUUGUUUUCAUUCCUAUUUAUUUUACUAACUAAUUUUUCUUUUUAAAUACUUUCUUUUAUUAUACUUUCUUUUACAAUUUAUUAUACAUACUUUUAAUUCUCUCUUUCAUAUACAUAUUCUUUUGAUACUUGUAAUGAACUGAUAAAGUACUUUCCUUUUGUUUUCAAAUUUUGGAUCCGGACAGACUCGAAUCAACGCGGGUCUGAGAUGGGAAUUCGAUGACGUGGCAUCAUUAGCGGUUGAUCACUGUAGCUUAAUUACAAUAAUUACUGUAGCAAAAGUCGAGGAUGUCACACAUGGCAUGAUCAUUGGGCAAAGGUUUGGGGUCAAGGAGAUGAGUCUAGAGAGUAGCAGCAAGUUUGUGAUUCAUAACACAAGCAAUCAGCAAUCAAUUCAAGCAUCAUAUCACAGAGAAAAAGUUUUAAUUGGUCCUAAGUUUUUUGCUAUGUUGACUUAGUCAGGAGAGGCAAAAGACAGGGUGUGAAAGACCUACCCCCUUACAAGAAUCUUGUCCCCGGGAUUCCUAUGCUAGACGUUGGAAAGGUACCGAGUUUCAGGUUGAGGUACUCUUCGCGUUCCCGUGUUGCUUCUUCUUUGAUGUGAUUGCUUCCUGUAUGUCUUGAAAUGCUUCGUGAUACAACUUUGAAUACUUCUCUUAGCUUCAUCUAAGAGUGAACGGGGUUCUUCCAAUGUGUUGGGCCCGACUAGAGGUCAAGGGCUUGGUGAACUAAGUUCUCGCAAGGGUCUGGCUUGCAUGUGUAUUCCUGAGUCGGAAUACGUGACAAGGUAGUGUAUUUGUAGGCUGGUCCUGGGGUUGCACACGUUGGUUAGUGACAUCUAGAUGUAUCGUGUUAGAAUAGAAGGGUCAAGGUUUUGGUGUAGCUUCCCAUCAACGGGGAAAUGCCUGACUUCCUUAAGGCAGGUGAUCUACCGUCGCAGGUGGUCUUCUUUCUUGGGAAUGUUGAAGCUUGCCAAUGUAGGCUUAUUGUUGAGAUCUUUUGCUUAAGUAGGUAGCCCAGGUAUGUUCUUCAUCGGUCUUCAUCCACUUGUCUUUGUCGUCAUGGACGCACGUUUCCGGCAUGUCUUCGGGUGCUUGGCCUUAUAGCUGUUUUGUAACUACUUGUGAAAAACUUGGGGUUGGGUUUGAUCCAUAAGACUAAGCUUAGAGGCACACUGUUUAAAAACGGGUUCUACCAUCUAGGAAGGUUCUUGAGGAGUCCUAGAUGAGUUGGCUACUGAUGACCCACAAGUAUAUGGUAUCUAUCGUAGUCCUUUCGAUAAGUAAGAGUGUCGAACCCAACGAGGAGCAGAAGGAUCUGACAAGUGGUUUUCAGCAAGGUGAUAUCUGCAAGCACUGCAAUUAUCGGUAACAAGUAGUUAUGUGGUGAGAUGAUUCGUAGCAAGUAGCAAGUAACAAAAGUAACCACGGUGCAGUAAAGUGGCCCAAUCCCUUUUGUAGCAAGGGACAAGCCUGGACAAACUCUUAUAGGAGGUAAAACGCUCCCGAGGACACAUGGAAAUUUCUGUCAAGCUAGUUUUCAUCAUGUUCAUAUGAUUCGCGUUCGUUACUUUGAUAGUUUGAUAUGUGGGUGGAGGUACUGCCCUUACUUGGACAAGCAUCUCACUUAUGAUUAACCCCUCUCGCAAGCAUCCGCAACUACGAAAGAAGAAUUAAGACAAAGUUUAACCAUAGCAUUAAACUAGUGGAUCCGAAUCGGCCCCUUACGAAGCAACGCAUAAACUAGGGUUUAAGCUUCUGUCACUCUAGCAACCCAUCAUCUACUUACUACUUCCCAAUGCCUUCCUCUAGGCCCAAAUAAUGGUGAAGUGUUAUGUAGUCCACGUUCACAUAAAACCACUAGAGGAAAAACAACAUACAACACAUCAAAAUAUCGAACGAAUAUCAAAUUCACAUGACUACUUAUAGCAUGACUUAUCCCAUGUCCUCAGGAACAAAAGUAACUACUCACAAACCAUAAUCAUAUUCAUGACCAGAGAGGUAAUGAAUAGCAUCAAAGAUCUGAACAUAUAAUCUUCCACCAAGUAAUCCAACUAGCAUCAACUACAAAGAGUAAUUAACACUACUAGCAACCUUACAAGUACCAAUCGGAGUCGCGAGACGGAGAUUGGUUACAAGAGAUGAACUAGGGUUUGGAGAUGAGAUGGUGCUGAUGAAGAUGUUGAUGGUGAUGAGUCCCCUCCGAUGAGAGGAGUAUUGGUGAUGACGAUGACGACGAUUUCCCCCUCCGGGAGGUAAGUUUCCCCGGCAGGAUCGUCCUGCCGGAGCUCUAGAUUGGUUCUGCUCAAGUUCCGUCUCGUGGCGGCGGCGAAUCCUCCGAAAAGCCUCUUCUUGAUUUUUUUUCUGAAACGAAACUCUUCUUGUAGCAAAAGAGGGGAGCCAGAGGGCCAAGUGGGAGCCUACAAACCCUUCUUGAAAAAUUUAUGUUUCACAAAAAAAUGGAAACAUUCUAUUUCAAUGAAAGACACUUAUGUAUAGUUGGCCUGCAAAGAUUCAAGGUCAAAUCUUCUCUUGUUUGAAACAACAAAGAAUAGAAAUUUCUAUACAAGGAUAGCACGGAUCUUGACUCAAACUGAAAGUGGUUAGAUAGAGGCUACAGAGGUAUUGUAGCCUGGAGUUUCUAGGUUUGAGAUCUUGCGCAUUGACUUGGUCAGCAGGACUAGUGCAUAACACAAGUCCAAAAUACAGCAACAAGCGAUUUUAUUCCUGCUGUAAGUAAUAUGCACACGCCUUCUCAUGUAUGCAUUCAUGUGUUGUACCUUCUCAUAUGAGCCCUCUGUUUCUAAAUAUUUGUUGGAAGAACUAGAUUAGUUCUCGCCAACAGCAAAUAAUGAUACGCAAUCAUUGUAUAUUUGUAAAAGAAAAAUCCUGCUGUAAGGAUCACACAUGACGUGCAUGCAUGCAUGCAUUUUUCAUAUGAAGUGGAGAGCAAAAGAAACAAGGCAUGACUAGCACCAAAGAAGUUGCACGCAAAGUGGAGUAAUAUACCCAUGACUACAUACAUGGUCAUCGGAUGAUCUUGGCAAGCACGUUGGCUCGUCUAUAUAUAGUACAUCACAACGUGUGGGAGCUAUAGCUUUAAGUGGAAGGCAAAGCCUUAUACUUAAUGGAUUAUUUAGCUAAAUAUACUAUCUAUGAGAUAUAGGAGUGAAACAAACAGUCCAGAAGCUUUCCUAUACCGGCACGUCCCGGCAGCAUGUCCAUCAACUUCUCCAACUCUCCCAUGUCUAGCCUCACCGUCAGCGAGCCUCACCGUCACCACGAGCAAACAAACAGCAGCAGUAGUUCUCCUCGGAAACCGGUCUUACUACUGUGAAAUUUCUGUUCAAUGGAUAUUAGACUGAUUGUAGGCGAUGUGAUUUAAUAGCGCAAUAAGAAAAGUUCAGAAGAGUAAGUAUAUCAUAUAGUCAUAGAUUCAGUCACUAUUUAUUUUGGAGGUGGCAAUGCAAGUUAGUCCUAAAACUAUAUAUAAGUUGUUCAUCGAGAGCCCUAACUUGCCCAUAGACCAGUGUUCACCUGCUUAUGUGGCGCUUAACUGUUGUCAUGUAGACAUACUCUAUGCAAAAUGGCCCUUACAAAAAUAUAAUGGAAAAUCCACUCUCAAAAAUGUCGUACAACCACAUUGAAGAAGUGAGAUGUUUUUGGUUGAGCAUCUCAGACAAGUAGUCCAGUAUUCCUAGGUGGUGCACAAGUUGCCGAGCAGCUUAUGUUACGGAAUCAGCCAGGUACCGUCAGGCUCACCUGAACUGGAUGAAGUGGUGCACAAGUUGCCGGCAGCCUGACGGAAUCAGCCAGGCACCGGAAGUCACCGGGCAUGGAGACAUCGAUGUGAGCUCUAAUCUUGAUCGUGGCCAGUUGGUGAUGGCCGAGUCGUCCGCAUAGAGUAACAAGCAGCAACGUCAGCCGAGCAGUUGGGCAGCCGUGGUGUGCGGUCGUGCGCUGCCAAGGUCGUGGGCUGUUGAUGUGCAUGUAAGUUUGUUAGUGCUACUUGUGUGGGUUGUUAGCUACAUGAACGGCCAGGUCGUGUGUGCGUGGUGAGACCUCAUUUUCAAGGUUACAUGCUGAUUAGGAUUCUUUCUUUCUAACUAACCACCCUCCUGAUUUUCAAGGGGGUGGGACCCUCAUCCCCUUAAUCUUCAAUCAAAAUCCACCUGUUUGUAAAAUCUAUGUGAAGUUAUGUAUGUGUAGAAUUGCUCGGGCAAGAGGCUAGUUAGGAAAAAAAAAUCUAGUCAACUUGUAACCUUUCGUAAGUCUUUGUAUGUUUAACAUUACUGGGUAAGAUGGUCGUCUACAUUUCAGAUCUUGCAGCGUCGAACGAGUCCGCCCCGAACAGGUCGUCGACGUAGGCCACCAGCCGUGUCGUCUCCGUGAGCCCCGACGAAAGCCCGGUCAGCACCGGCACCAAGCGGGCGCAUCCCUCGGACAUGAGCGUCUCGAUGGUGGCGCUCGGGGGCAGGUCAGAGAGGUCGAUGGGAACUGCGCCAACUGUGUCGUGGACGUGAAGGUGAUGAGCGCGGCCACUGCCAGGCACUUGGCAAGCUCGGUGGCCCAUCCCGGGCGUCAACAGCAUUGUCACGUGUGGUGGCCGGCGAGCCUCAGCCGUGCCGUUCGCCUACGUGGUUCACCGUCCGCCCCUGCGUUUCUCCAUGGGAUUUUUUUUUUGAAUAAAAGGGGUUUCCCCCUGCUCUAUUCUAUUGAAGCAGCGAACCGAACAAGUUUACAGCCAUGAUAACCACCAGAACAGCUCAAACGCAAACUACCAGGAGACUAAACUCUAAGAAAGCAGAAAAAAGUUCAGAUACAAUCACUAGUAGGACAUAUUACAGACGAGACUUUAUUAGAGCUUCAGUUCCUUAGGCCGACGACCGAGCGAUAUGCAACAGUUCUUUCCUGAACUUGUCCAGCUUAAUUAGUCAUGAGCUGAAGAACCCCGUCCUGUGUGGCGUCGCAACGCACAGCCCACUGCUGAAGAAAGGCUCUAAGCUUGCAUGCNNNNNNNNNNNNNNNNNNNNNNNNNNNNNNNNNNNNNNNNNNNNNNNNNNNNNNNNNNNNNNNNNNNNNNNNNNNNNNNNNNNNNNNNNNNNNNNNNNNNGCAUCAACUCUUCCCUUAUCAAUUUGAAUGUCCAACAGAAUCCAAUGGAAGCUGCACAUGUAUAUAUAUAUAUAUAUGUCAGUAACUUAUCAAUUACACUUAUAAGUGAAUGGACGCAACAGAGUAAAGACCCUCACCUGAAGUUGUAUGGAAACAGUAUGUGGUCACAGAAAUUUUGAUCUAUUAGAAACCUUAGAAGGUUUUCCUCCGUCUCCUUGGGUUUAUUAGUUAGCGUCGCUAUAUGUAUUUUAUCUGGGUCAAUAAACCCAAUAUUUAGGAUGCUCUUACUUUUACAAUCCAGAAUCUUCAUUCUGCAUAAUAGAGUACAAGUUAUAUAUAGACAAUUAAUUGAAAUAACUAAACAAGUUAUAUGUAGACAACGAAUUGAAAAACUUACAGACAAUAGCAACUCAUAAGCGAUUUGUCGAGGGCGUCGCCAUUGUACAUGUGGAAGAGUUCAUCAAAGUCGAUAUGGAUUUCUUCGGAGCGGCCGUAGUACUCCCGUGGGACACUCAGCACGAUCAUCGUUCUCCCAUUCUUUGAUUCACUUAAGUACCAUUUAUGCAAGUAACGCAUAUUUGUUGGGAGAUCAUCUUUGGUGACCAAAGGCUCUUCCAUGACAAACUGUGGCUUAGGGGCUACCACAGCCUUGGGUAUCCUGUCGUCUUGGGAAGCCAGCAAAUCUUUAACUGAGAUACCACAUUCAGCCGCCAAAUCCUUUGCUCUUUCAAAAGCUUGCCCCUGCACCAGAGGGGGAACAUUCUCGGUUAACACCUUGAGGGGUGGGAUCGACUGUUUGGCCUGUUGUCCAAGAUGAGGAACGUCUGAUUUUUUCUUGCUUGUAGUUGAACUUGAUUUGCUCCCACUUGCACUUGCACGUGAGCUGCUCUUUUUCAUUUGCUUCUGCAAUGUGCGUGUAUAGUCAUCAGGCUUAUAGUGUAAGUCAUACUGUGAUGGAAGGGUUAUGAAGUCUUUUGCCCAUGCUAUUUGCUUCUCGGUGUAUUCCGGGAGGCGCUCGGGUUCCUUCUUUUUCAUCUGCUCAUCAUGCUGUUCCUUUGCUAUCCUGGCGUUUUCCUCGGGGGUACGAUCAUAAGGUCUGAUAGGAAGAUUAGCAUGAGGUACCUUUGGGAGGGGCGACAGUUUGCGCUUUGGGGAGCUCCGUCGCUUAGAAAUCAUCGACGGAGCAUUCUUGCUGGCAUGCUUCCGCUUAGUAUCCUGUGCGGGUGGCGGUGGAGACGGACGACCUAAGUCCGGCGGCGGUGAUCGAGAUGGACUCGUGUUGUGCUGGCCGACGUCAUGUGGAGGGCUUGGAGGUAAUGGAGGUGUAGGUGACCUGCGACGACUCGGAGGCGGUGUUGUCCUUGGGGCCGAGCGUGGAAGCUUGACGUAGUUCUUGUCCCAUAGGAUGACUCCACCCAGUACUUCUCCGAGUGUCCUCUCAUCUUCGGGUCCAGCUAUGUCGAGCUCCAUAUCAUUAAACCCCGUCAUGAUUUCAUCCACCCCGACUUUAGCAAAGCCAGCUGGAAUCUCACGGCCAUGCCAGCGUGCAUCAGGGCCAGAAGGUAAAGCUUGUCUGACGGCCACCUUCAUGGAUAUGUUCUUGAAUUUCUGAUGGAGUUCACAUGAUGUUGACUCCUUGAUUCCAUCCACGGGGUAGCCGGGACCGCCCUCUAUCAUUAUUCGUGCAUCAUCGGGCGGGGUCUCAGAUUCACCAACCCUGCUUUUCCGCUUAGAUGGGGCGCCGGUAAUAUCAAGUGCAGGAUCUUCCUGGCGCGGUACUCCUCUAAGCUCAUCAAUCUGCUUCUGUUGCUCGUUAAUCCUGGCAAGCAACUGGUUGAACUUGUCAUUCUUCUCAUCCUGCUGCCGCUCCUUUGCUCUCUCUCGGCUUCUGUAAGUGUCUUGGUCUCUGGCAACCCAAGCCACCACGGGUAAGAAGGAACGAAGCCUCGCGUUCGUCCUCCGUGUUCGUCAUUGCCGAGGACCAGUGUGAGGAAAUCUUUAUCUCUAUCUGCAGUGAACUUUCUUUUUCCCUCCUUAAUUUCUUUCACUAUCCUUUUCCAAUUCUCCAUGGGUAUCCUAAGACCGUCACUGCAGAUGAGGUCCCCUGUUUCUUCGUCGUACGAACCACCAUGCGCAAGGAACCAAUUUCUUGCUCUCAAUUCCCAUUCAUCACGGAGUGGUUCAGGUACGAUGCCUUUAUCUAGCAGAUCUUGCUCUUUCUUAUCCCACUUUGGGAUGGCAGUCUCAUAGCCCCCUGGCCCCAGCUUGUGGUGAUAUUUCUUCUUGUCGGCAUUUAUCUUGUUCUUUUCUGAUAAUGCCUGGGCAUCUUCUGACUCCUUGUACUCUUGAAAUGCCUUCAAGUGAUUCGCCUGCUUGGCUAGAUACCCCUCGAAUACUGGCACUUUCUUUGUCUUCAGAUAGUUUUUCCAUAGCUUCUUCUUCCAGCUACAGAACAGUUCGGCCAUCUUCUUCAGAGUCCAUUACUUGACUUUGGCCCUCAGUUUGUCUGCGGCGUAUUCAUUCUCACAUUCUGGCAGGUUGAAAUGUGACAUGAGAUCAUUCCAAAGAUUAUCUUUGUACCUUUCGGCGACAUAGUCACUAUCGGCUGCCCCUUUGCGCUUGUUCCACUCCCGAACGCUGAUCGGGACGUGAUCCCUAACGAGAACUCCGCAUUGCUUCUUGAAUGUGUCAGCAACAUUCUUGGGAAGCUUGGGUUCGCCCGUAGGAAAUAUCACCUCAAAUGUGUAAUGCGUCCGUGCAUCCAACUUUCUAGUCGGGCCUCGUUUCGUAGUUUUGCUCGAUGUGGAGGCCUAAGAGGGAGAAACAUUCGUCAAAUGAAUGUAUAUGUAUACAAUAUAGAGCUAUCUCCAAUAUUUUUCACAUAUUACAAGUGAUUGUCGAACUUCAUAUGUAUACCCCGCCGGACUUCUCCUCUUCACCGGGUUCUCCAUCAGUGGAGCUAUCACCUUCUCCGUCAUUGGACCUAUCUCCUGCCCCAUCGGCUUCAUCUUCGUGUCGCUCGACCUCCAUUCCAACGUCCUAGUUUAGAUAUGACGACGGAGAUUCAGCUGGUUCAACGUCGGGGCCGUCUUUGAUUAUAUCUUCGAGAAGUUCUUCCUCUUCGAGGUUCCUGAUAUGUGAAUCCAUAGUUCUGCAAAAAACGGAUUCUCUUAACCUUUGUACCAAAAAAGAAUUAUUCUAUCAGGAACUCCGUUCCAAAACAACUUAAGUCCCACGUCGUGGCUCCACCCGGGACUCCUAGAUUUCUGCAUAGUAUUCAAAGUAGGAGUACUUUUCUAAUUUUAGCAUUCAAUAAGCAAAACCAAAUCGUAAAAUAAAGUAGUAUUCAAAUUAGCAUGCAUUCAAUUAUAAGCUAAUACAUCAUCACUUUUGUCCGUACAUCGUCGAAUAUUAUCACUAAUACUCCUCGAAUACUAUCAUACAUAUAGCAUCACUCAUACAUCUAGAACCGUAGCGCCCCACAGGUAUCGGCGCGGGCGGUGGACACCCAAAGAGAAGGAACCAUCACAGAAUCAUAGCUCUAGUGAGAUCCCCGAAGAACCUACCAGGUAUGCUCGAACCUGCCCUCCAACGCAACCAUGUAGCGACGGACGUGUUCAUCCUCCUCGCUGACACGGUGACGUACCACCUCCGCGGUGUCCGGAAGCAUCGGCACCCUCACUGGCCCACGCGACCGCCACCAAACAAGGAUCGGGUCAACGACGGGCUGGCUCCUCACCAACCUACGCACCCCGGAAGGUAGCACCUUCCAAUACCAGCCGGGCGGAGCCCAGUCCCGGACAAGGCCCCUCUGAUCAAGCAGGUGUCCUCCGCCGAGUCGACGACGAGGAUGCGGGAUAGGCAUCGUAAAAUGAACUAAAAAAAUAACCUAGUUCUAUUAAUUUUCUUGCUAAAAAUAAACUAUUAACACUUAAGCAUAUACAAUAGCAAAAUUAAACUAUUAACACUUAAGCAUAUACAAUAGCAAAAUUAAGCAAUAAUCUAAGAAACACUAUUAACACUUAAGCAUAUACACUAUACAAUAGCAAAAUUAAGCAUAUACACUAUACAAUAGCAAAAUUAAAUGACACUACAUAUUUUUGUUCAUAUACGCUAUCUUAUUUUCUUAUUUUUGUUCAUAUUUCUUCUUGUUGUAACGCUAACCUAAUUCUAAAUAUUACUAACCCUAAUAAUCUAACACAAACCUAAUAACAAUAGGAAUUAAAUGACAAAAAAAAUCUUUUUCUUUUUCUUCUUUUCUUCUCCUUUUUUUUCUUUUCUUCUCCUUUUUCUUCCUUUCUUCUCCUUUUUCUUCUUUUCUUCUCCUUUUUCUUCCUUUCUUCUACUGGCCGGAGUGUUGGGGAGGAUGGGGCGGGGGGCUUACCGGCCAGAGGUGUCGACGGCGCGCGGCGAGGAGGAUGGCGCGGUGCGCGGCGAGGAGGAUGGCGCGGCGCGCGGCGAGGAGGAUGGCGCGGCGAGGAGGACGGCGGGCGGCGGCGAGCAGGACGUCGGGCAGCCUGACGGCGUCGUCGAGUUCGUCGCUGUGCCGCGUCGGGCAGGAGAACGAGAGGAAGAAGAAGAGAAAUGGAUGAUUUGGGUUGAAAUUUUUCGAAGUCCCGCUUAUAUAGGUGGAUCUUUAGUCCCGGUGCGUGCCUCCAACCGGGACUAAAGGGGGUGUUUAGUCCCGGGGUGUGGCUCCAACCGGGACUAAAGCCCCUCCUCGGCUGUACGAUAAGUUUAGUCCCACCUCGCCCAGCGAGGGGGACUAACACUUGUUUAUAAGCCCCGUCGCAGCUUCUCCAUCGAGCUCCUCUCUAAAGCAGGCUUACGGGCCUAAACUCACUGGAAAUUGUAACUAUAUUGGAAAUUAUAGGGAAAAUUCAAUCUAAAUUCAAAUGAGAAUUUAGAUUGAAUUUUCUCUAUGAUUUCGAAUAUAGUUUCAAUUUUUUCUAUUUUCGUAUACAAAACGGACAAUCUCUCUCGAAGUAGCAGCGUUUCGAACGAGAACUUAUCUCUUACAAAUGGAUUUCAUUUUUUUGAANNNNNNNNNNNNNNNNNNNNNNNNNNNNNNNNNNNNNNNNNNNNNNNNNNNNNNNNNNNNNNNNNNNNNNNNNNNNNNNNNNNNNNNNNNNNNNNNNNNNUGGCGUGGGCGGCCGACGUCAGUCCUAGCAUCCCUUAAUCACAAGCGCGAUGCAUCUCGGGACCACUCGGGCGCGCGCCGCUACAUUGCUGGCAUCUGAAAAGCUUCGGCUGAUACCGCGACGUCGAGUACCCAUAAUUCUUCCCGCGUAGCCGGUUAGUGCGAAAAGGUCUCCGACCAACCCAGAUCAAAUACCCAAAUCCAUUAACAUUUUAAUUAGGCCAGCAACACAGUCUCACGNNNNNNNNNNNNNNNNNNNNNNNNNNNNNNNNNNNNNNNNNNNNNNNNNNNNNNNNNNNNNNNNNNNNNNNNNNNNNNNNNNNNNNNNNNNNNNNNNNNNNNNNNNNNNNNNNNNNNNNNNNNNNNNNNNNNNNNNNNNNNNNNNNNNNNNNNNNNNNNNNNNNNNNNNNNNNNNNNNNNNNNNNNNNNNNNNNNNNNNNNNNNNNNNNNNNNNNNNNNNNNNNNNNNNNNNNNNNNNNNNNNNNNNNNNNNNNNNNNNNNNNNNNNNNNNNNNNNNNNNNNNNNNNNNNNNNNNNNNNNNNNNNNNNNNNNNNNNNNNNNNNNNNNNNNNNNNNNNNNNNNNNNNNNNNNNNNNNNNNNNNNNNNNNNNNNNNNNNNNNNNNNNNNNGCAUCGUCGGGAAUGGUGAAAGAGGAAUCACCCUCGAUAACCACGACCGACUAGCUAUACUACAGAGAUAUCAUCAGGAGUACUUAGUGAGGUGUCACCCUCGGUACCCGAUAGUAUCUCUGUAGCGUCGUACAACGAAGGGGGGUGAAUGUGCUGUGUCGGGUCUGGCUCGUCGAUCAGAGAUCGAGAUUUGAAAACAAGCGGGGCAACUGAACUACGGGGUCAGAGGGGAUGACUGCUCCACCUAUACUAAGCNNNNNNNNNNNNNNNNNNNNNNNNNNNNNNNNNNNNNNNNNNNNNNNNNNNNNNNNNNNNNNNNNNNNNNNNNNNNNNNNNNNNNNNNNNNNNNNNNNNNNNNNNNNNNNNNNNNNNNNNNNNNNNNNNNNNNNNNNNNNNNNNNNNNNNNNNNNNNNNNNNNNNNNNNNNNNNNNNNNNNNNNNNNNNNNNNNNNNNNNNNNNNNNNNNNNNNNNNNNNNNNNNNNNNNNNNNNNNNNNNNNNNNNNNNNNNNNNNNNNNNNNNNNNNNNNNNNNNNNNNNNNNNNNNNNNNNNNNNNNNNNNNNNNNNNNNNNNNNNNNNNNNNNNNNNNNNNNNNNNNNNNNNNNNNNNNNNNNNNNNNNNNNNUCGGGGUCUACCGGUAAGAAGAGGGGGAAGAAACAAUAAAUAAUAGCACCGAUGCAACACAAAGCAUGACAUGGCAAGAUGCAGGUUAGACAUGAACUAACGCAGCAACAUCCGUCAUAGACGGGUCGGAAGAAUAUCUGACGAUAUUUUCCGGGUCUCGGGCUACUACCGGUUAUACUGGAAACGAUGGNNNNNNNNNNNNNNNNNNNNNNNNNNNNNNNNNNNNNNNNNNNNNNNNNNNNNNNNNNNNNNNNNNNNNNNNNNNNNNNNNNNNNNNNNNNNNNNNNNNNNNNNNNNNNNNNNNNNNNNNNNNNNNNNNNNNNNNNNNNNNNNNNNNNNNNNNNNNNNNNNNNNNNNNNNNNNNNNNNNNNNNNNNNNNNNNNNNNNNNNNNNNNNNNNNNNNNNNNNNNNNNNNNNNNNNNNNNNNNNNNNNNNNNNNNNNNNNNNNNNNNNNNNNNNNNNNNNNNNNNNNNNNNNNNNNNNNNNNNNNNNNNNNNNNNNNNNNNNNNNNNNNNNNNNNNNNNNNNNNNNNNNNNNNNNNNNNNNNNNNNNNNNUUUGAUCUGACUUACGGAUUAUUUUAUAUUAAUUUUCAAAGUUUUAUUAAUUAUUUAGGAAUUAAAAACAGAUUUAAAUGAUUUAAUAAAAUCCCAUUAUGACAUCAUCGCGAUGUCAGGCUGGCAUCAGCAGUUGACUGGUCAACUNNNNNNNNNNNNNNNNNNNNNNNNNNNNNNNNNNNNNNNNNNNNNNNNNNNNNNNNNNNNNNNNNNNNNNNNNNNNNNNNNNNNNNNNNNNNNNNNNNNNNNNNNNNNNNNNNNNNNNNNNNNNNNNNNNNNNNNNNNNNNNNNNNNNNNNNNNNNNNNNNNNNNNNNNNNNNNNNNNNNNNNNNNNNNNNNNNNNNNNNNNNNNNNNNNNNNNNNNNNNNNNNNNNNNNNNNNNNNNNNNNNNNNNNNNNNNNNNNNNNNNNNNNNNNNNNNNNNNNNNNNNNNNNNNNNNNNNNNNNNNNNNNNNNNNNNNNNNNNNNNNNNNNNNNNNNNNNNNNNNNNNNNNNNNNNNNNNNNNNNNNNNNNNNNNNNNNNNNNNNNNNNNNNNNNNNNNNNNNNNNNNNNNNNNNNNNNNNNNNNNNNNNNNNNNNNNNNNNNNNNNNNNNNNNUGGCAUUCUCUCAUUAUUCUAAUUAAUUAAUUUAACUAAUAUAUCUAUUUAUUUAUUUAAUAAAAACAUUAUUUUUAUUUUUAGUUUAACUAUCGCGUGGGGCCUCCCUGUCAUAGACAGCGGGUGCGUUGCCCCACCGGUAAGUGACCNNNNNNNNNNNNNNNNNNNNNNNNNNNNNNNNNNNNNNNNNNNNNNNNNNNNNNNNNNNNNNNNNNNNNNNNNNNNNNNNNNNNNNNNNNNNNNNNNNNNNNNNNNNNNNNNNNNNNNNNNNNNNNNNNNNNNNNNNNNNNNNNNNNNNNNNNNNNNNNNNNNNNNNNNNNNNNNNNNNNNNNNNNNNNNNNNNNNNNNNNNNNNNNNNNNNNNNNNNNNNNNNNNNNNNNNNNNNNNNNNNNNNNNNNNNNNNNNNNNNNNNNNNNNNNNNNNNNNNNNNNNNNNNNNNNNNNNNNNNNNNNNNNNNNNNNNNNNNNNNNNNNNNNNNNNNNNNNNNNNNNNNNNNNNNNNNNNNNNNNNNNNNNNNNNNNNNNNNNNNNNNNNNNNNNNNNNNNNNNNNNNNNNNNNNNNNNNGGCGGUGAGGAGAUCGACAUGGUGGGAGGAGCCCGAGGAGGGGCUCACCGACGGUGACGAGACGGCCCGAUGAAGCCGGAGUUCGCACGAAGGUGAAGGUGACGACGGUGACGCGGUUCCGGUGAAGACGGGCGUGCCGGCGAGGAGGAGCCGGCCGGAGGUUCGCCGAGAGGUGCCCUAGUGAGGAGGGGCCCCCGGAGAUGGAGUCGGCCGGAGUGGGUGAGGCCGGCAAGAGGGACCUCGAGGAGGCCGGGGACCCUGUCGGCGGGGUGGAGGCCGAGGGGGGAGCUCGCCGGCGGGAGAAUGGGGCCGUGGGGGGAACUCGCCGCCGGAGGAGGAGGAGUGGUGGCCGGCGGUUGGAGGAGCAGGGGCUCGCCGGCCGGGAGAGGGGAGGGGCUCGCCGGCCGGAGGGAGGAGGCCGUGGGGAAGUGAGAUGAGGGAUCGGCUCGCCGGCGGGGGGNNNNNNNNNNNNNNNNNNNNNNNNNNNNNNNNNNNNNNNNNNNNNNNNNNNNNNNNNNNNNNNNNNNNNNNNNNNNNNNNNNNNNNNNNNNNNNNNNNNNUCUUGCUACUGUGAAAUUCAUUUUGGAGGUGAUGUGAUCUGAUAGCGCAAUAAGAACAAUUCACAAGAGUAACUGUAUCACAUAGUCAUAGAUCCAAUCACUAUUUAUUUUGGAGGUGUCAAUGCAAGUUAGUCCUAAAACUAUAUAUAAGUUAUUCACCGAGAGCCCUAACUUGCCCAUAGACCAGUGUUCACCUGCUUAUGUGGCGCUUAACUGUUGCCAUGUAGACAUACUCUAUGCAAAAUGGCCCUUCCAAAUACACAAUGGAAAAUUCACUCUCAAAAAUGUCGUACAACCACAUUGAAGAGGUGGGAUGUUUUUAUUUCUUAAGAAAAAAAGACAAAUCAUCACAAUACACACAACCAUUCGUAGCGAGAUACUUGUCACUGGUGCACUUGGGCACCACUUCAUCCAGCAC
Molecule: long non-coding RNA, 47264 nt
Filed under: Hordeum vulgare
Lineage: Eukaryota; Viridiplantae; Streptophyta; Magnoliopsida; Poales; Poaceae
Description: long non-coding RNA (HVUL_LNC006219)
Source: RNAcentral